AUUGGAAUGAUGAAGGAUGCUUGACAAUUUUGAAGCGAUGUAAAGAGGCCAUUUCAAGCCAAGACAAGGUAGGAAGAAAGUUGAUCAUAAUUGACAUGGUUGUGAGGGAGAAUGAGCAAGUGAAUGAUGAAGCCUCAAGCUUAACUAAAACACAACUCUUUUUCGACAUGUUGAUGUUGGUAUUGGUGGCUGGAAAAGAGAGGCGGGAAGAAGAAUGGGCUAAACUAUUUUUAGCAGCUGGUUUUAGUUCUUUCAAAAUUACUCCUAUUGUGGGUUUGACAUCUCUCAUUGAGGUUUACCCCUGAGAGCAUUUGGUUAUUGCAUUACUAGUAUAAUAAUGUCGAGAAAUACAUAGUUGAAGUGGUAAAAUUGUUCUUUGUUGACAUCAUUUACUAGAGUUGUUUGCUGGGAUUGUAACUGUAUUGCCUAUUCCUAUUGUGUUGUCAUGGUCCUACUCUUAUAGACCUUUCCUUUUUGUUAUUACUCUUAAGGUUUGUACUUGUUGUUUUGUCCGUAAUUUGUUUUACUUCAGUCUAUGCACAUAUAAUUCUAAUUUUAAUAGUUUAGUGGUCUUGUUGUUGUUGAUUGUUGAUCAGAGCAGCGCAACGGAAGCAUGAUAUUAGAUUUUUAUUAAAUAUUCCAUGAUUAAUUGUGUGGUGUGAUUGGUCGGUUACUGUGUUUUGUGGUUUUAAAUGGAUAGUCAUUUUGGUGACUAAUGUAACGUUUGAAAUUUAGGUCGGACCGUUCCGGUCAAGUUUGAAGUGCCACAUCAGAACCCUAUUUUGAGAGGUUACAAAUAUGUUUGUCAAAGCAGCUAUGAAAGAAAUGUAUCUCAGUUGCCAUUGUAAAAUGUAAAUCAAAAGAUGUACUUGUCAUUGUCACUUUUCAAGACAUUUGUUGCAAACAAAAAAAUUAUAGGAUUAAAUUUUAAAUUUUAAAAGAUUACAUGAACCUUUUUCUCAUUUAAAUCAAAAGUAAAUAAUAUAAUCAUUAAUCCAUACUUUCAUUUUUUGCUUUUGUUUCUUAAUCAUCAAAAACCAUGAUUGUUUAAAUCAGAUUAGAUGACUGAUUAGACUAAAAAUCAACUAGUACAUCGAUCCAAAAAUCGAUUAUUAGACCACCAACUAUGAACUAAAUAAAUUGAUAAAAGAAAAUCGAUCCAACCGAUUUUUAUGGUUUUGAGACCAAAUUUCAUCUAUCCCAAAUCGAGCAAAAAGAAAACCAACUACCCCUACCCCUAAAAAAUUAACACCCAGCCUCAAAAUCAAUAUAAAAUUUUUUAAAAAGAACCCCUAAUCUAGUUAUUGUAUUACUAAAACCUAUUAUAAGCACGGUGUGAAAUAAAUAAACUGGACAGCUAGAAGCUUUCUACAUAUUUUUUAGAGUGGUUUAAAAGAAAUAAGAAAAAUAAAAAGAAGAUGAUGAGAGAAAACACAAUAUUCUUUAUAGUUUUAGAUUUUGAAAGAUUUUAAAAAAUAAUUAAGUAAUAAAGCUCUUGAUUUCAUCAUUUGUAAAAAAAGUCAGUAAAUUUUGGAAUGACAAAAAGGGUAAAGUAUAUUAUUGACAAAACGUAUUUAUUAUAUAUAUUUAUAUAUUUUUUAUUUUUUAGCGAUAAAUCUUAAAACUAUACGUGAACUAUGGUUUAAUGUGCUAAUUGAUCUUUUCUGUUAAAAAUUCCAUCCAUUUAUACAGUUAAAAAUUGUUGGUUGACAGAAUAAUGGAAUAGUGACAUAUGAUGUGCCAUGUGUACCUUAUGUUGAUGUACGUCGACUAAUUUUUAACUAUAGAAAUAGAUUAAAUUUUUAAUAGAAGGGCUAGUUUGCUAUUUGAUCUAACAUACAAAGACCAAUUUUUCCUUUUUUUUUUAAGUAGAGAAGAUAACAUGCAAUCUAAAUCCUAAUACAAUAACUUUCAUGAUAAUUUUACCCAACUAUCAUACGUGAGAGCAGUGAAUCUAUAACAUAUAUUUAAAAAAAAAAAUCUCCUAUAGGGUGAAUGCUUGACACAUGUUAACUUCAACUAUAAGUUUUUUAAAGAUUUUAGUUUAUAAAUUUUAAUGCAAUUAUAAAUUUAUAAAAUAUUUUAUAUUUAUUUUUAAGUUUGUUUUAUAAAUUGAGUAUAUGGUUUAUAUGUAUAAUUUUGAGAUUUUUUUUAGUUUUUUUUAAAUGAGUAUAUUUUUUAGUCUUUUUAGUUUUUUUUAAAGCUUAUCACAUACGCUUUGUUAACAAUAGCAGAAUACAAUUUUAUGCGACUUAUUGGGCUUAUUGUUUUGAAAAAUGAACCGUUUUCUUGGAUCUUUUUCUACAAAAUGACGCUCACUUAACCCUAAACUAUUCACUAGUUGUUUUUACUCUGAAAGUUCAUGAGAUACCACCAGCGAGAAGAGGAGUUAUCAUUUAUAGGUAAAUAUCUUUGGACUUUCAACUAUUAUUUCUAUUAUCUUCUACCAUGGUUAGGGUUAGAAAUGGUUUGGGUGGUCGGGGUGGUGGCUACUCUGGUUGUGGUUGUAAUGCCCUCAACUCGACUCAAUUUGCUGGCUCCGAAUAUCACAUGUUACUACACCAAUUAUUAACAAAUUUUACAAAACAAUAUAAUAUUACUCAUUUCCUUAAGUAUUCUAUUUAUUAUUUUAACUGAAUAAUUAACGUUUUAAUACAGGAGAAAUGUUUCGAAAUAACUAGUUACAACAGACUUGACAUGAAACAUUACAAAAUAGAAGUUUAUUAAUGACAUAUACAGAUGACGUAGUCCUAGACUACGCCACUUUUCCGUUGUAUGCAUAAUAGCUCAUCCCGCCAACACCUUGGCAUACUCUUGACAUCGUCUCUCCUGACGCAAACUCGUUCCAAACCUGAAAACAAUAACAAACCUUGUAAGUACAAGAGUACUUAGUGAGCUUUGUUACAGAGACACCAGAAUGGGCACUUUGCAUUCUUGUAUGAAUUAUAGCGUGCCAACCAUUCUUCUAAACCAAUAUUUUGGGUAGAUAUCACUUCAGUUUCAACAUACCCUUAUAGCCAACUAUCAUGCUCUUAUUAUACUCACAUCUUCCUUAUCUAAUUAACUGACGAUCCUUCGAAACAUUUCUUAAGCCUCUAAAGCACACAUAUAAUUCUCAACAGAACAUAUCCUCGGAGUUCACUUUUAACAAUCCAUGCCUUAACACAUACACUUAACUCAAAACAGUUUUUCAUAGACAUUUUUCAUGGAUGAAUACUUAUGCAGAACUUGAUACCAUUAAAUUCACACUCAGACAUUGUAACACCCCUCACCUAGCCCGGCCGCCGGACUCGAGUUACAUGACACUACAACAUUAUCGUAACUUUACCACAUGCACACACAGCUUCAAGUAAGAACAAUUUACAUGCCCAUAUGGCCAGAUAAUCUUUCCAAUAUUUGAUCUAUGAAUGGUAGAGGAAAAUGAUCUUUUCUUGUGGCAUCAUUGAACUUCCUAUAGUCAAUACAAACUCUCUAUCCCGUGACUGUUCUCGUCGGAAUCAACUCGUUCUUCUCGUUAGCUACAACAGUCAUGCCUCCCUUUUUAGGAACAACCUGCACAGGACUCACCUAAGUACUAUCAAAAAUAGGAUAAAUAACUCCAGCAUUUAGAAGUUUGAUUACCUCAGCCUUAACGACUUCCUUCAUGUUAGGAUUUAACCGUCUUUGAGCUUGCACACAUGGUUUGUAUUAAUCCUCCAUUAAAAUUUUAUGGGUACAAAAAGAAGGACUAGUCCCUCUAAUGUCAGAAAUCUUCCAGGCUAUAGCUAUUUUAUGUUCCUUCAACACUUUCAAUAACUCAUCUUUCUCAUUUGGCUUUAAAUCCAAAACAAUAAUCACAGGUAAUGUAGAAUUGUCUCCAAGAAACGCAUACUCUAAGUGAUUUGGUAAUUGCUUCAGUUCGAGCUUGGGAGGUUUUUCAAUAGAGGUUUUAAUUUCAACUCCUUGCUUACCUUAAUGUCCUCAUAGUUUGUUUGUCUCAGUGAAGGCUCAUUAGAGUCUAAAUUGAUUUUUUUUCUUACUUAUUAAAGCAUCAUCACCAUUUACCUCCUCUCCUUAAACCAGACACAGUUCCAACAUUUCCCUAUGAACGAUUUCCUUUAAUAAAUCUUGAAUAACAUGAUUAAUAGAGUCAAUAAAAUAACAAGAAUCAUCCUGUUCUUAGAAAAUCGCGUAGUAUCAUAUAUUUUAAAGAUAAUCUCUUCAUCACCUACCCUAAGCACAAGUUUACCAUCACCCACAUCAAUGAUAGCUCUAGCAGUAGCUAAAAAAGGGAGACCAAAAAUUAAAGGUACCUCAACAUCCUCAUCCAUGUCAAGUACAAAAAAAUCAACGGGGAAUAUAAAUUUAUCUAAUUUUACAAGGACAUAUUCAAUAAUACCCCUAGGAUACUUAACAAAUCUAUCAGCUAAUUGAAUACUCAUCUAGUGGGUUUUGGUUCCCUAAGGCCAAGCUACUUGAACAUUUUCUAAGGUAUCAAAUUAAUACUAGCUCCUAAAUAAGCUAAUGCUUUCUCAAUGAUUAAACUACCAAUAAUCUAUCAGCUUGGUUGGUAGUUUAUUUUGGAGAAUAUUUGAACAUUCCUCGUUGAGUUCCACAGUGGAUAGCUCUUCAAACUUCCUUUUAUUUGUUAAUAGCUCCUUUAAAAUUUUUGCAUAUGUGGGCAUCUGCGAAAUAGCUUCAACAAAAGGUAAGUUAAUAUGCAACUAUUUGAAAAGUUUAGGAAAUUUACCAAACUGUUCAUCCAUGCGGUCUUUCUUCAACUUUUUCGAAUAUGAGAUUGGUGGUUUGUAAUCUUUAAGUACCUACGGCUGAACUACUUCGGGAUUUACCCUCUCAUCAUUUGCCUUUUCAGAUUCCUGUUGCAACUUCUUUUCGAGUUCAGCCAACACUUUCCCAUUCCUUAAUGUAACUGCUUUCACAUGCUCUUUUGGGUUGGGUUUGGUAUUACUAGGUAAACUACCUUGUUUCCUUUCCGAAACCAAUUUUGCAAGCUAUCCAAUUUAAUUUUUGAGCCCAUGAAUUAACGUUUGCUGAUUUUUCAAAGCUGUCAUGGUGUUUUGAAAACGAGUCUCUGACACCGAAAUAAAUUUUGCUAACAUCUCUUCAAGGUUCAGUUUUUUCUCUGGCUGAUAGGAUUGUUGAAAGCUCGGAGGGGGUUGUGGUCUUUGGUUUCCUUGACCACCCCAUGAGAAAUUUGGGUGGUUCCUCCAUUCUGCAUUAUAGUUAUUACUAUAUAAGUUAUUUUGAGGUCUAGAAUUAUUACCCAUAUAGUUUAUUUGCUCAUUCACCAUGCUAGGACCGAAGGGUAAAUAUUCUAGAUGAUUUAUUCCACCUCCAUUUGCAUCGUACUGUAUCACCGAAUGAACCUAUGUAGAAACACAUAAACCAUCAAUUUUCUUAUUUAAAAGUUCUACAUGAUUUGAUAACAUGGUGACUACAUACAAGUUGAAAACACCGGCUGCUUUCAUCGGCUUUGUCCUCAUGACUUGCCACUGAUAAUUAUUCAGUGACAUCUCCUCUAUAAACUCAUAAGCUGCUUCAGGUGUUUUAUUGUUCAGAGUACCACCGGCUGCUGCAUCGAUCAAUUGCCUAGUUGAGGGUUUGAAAUCAUUGUAGAAGGUUUGAACCUGUAGCCAUAAAGGUAACCCAUGGUGAGGGCAUCGUCUCAAUUAAUCCUUAUACCUCUCUCAUGCAUCAUAUAGGGUCUCUAAGUCGAUGUGAACAAAUAAAGAGAUAUCAUUCCUCAACUUGGCCAUCUUAGCCGGUGGGAAGUAUUUCAGUAGGAAUUUCUCGGUCAUUUGCUCCCAUGUAGUUAUAGAACCUCGUGGUAAAGAAUUCAACCACUAUUUAGCUUUAUUCCUUAACGAGCGGGGAAACAACUGUAGAUAAAUGGUGCCAUCAGAAAUGCCACUAAUCUUGAAAGCAUAACAGACUUCUAGAAAAUUAGCCAAAUGAGUAUUGGAAUCUUCAUCUUGCAAAUCAUCGAAUAAAACAAAUUGUUGUAUCAUCUAAAUAGUGUUCGGCUUCAGUUCGCAAUUAUUUGUAGCAAUAGUGGGUCUCACAAUACUCGAUUUAGCCCCAGUUAUAGUGGGCUUGGCAUAAUUGUACAUAGUACAAGGGGCAGGAUCUAGAUUUGUAGCAACUAUAGGCUUGGUUUUUGCCCCGAGUCACUUGUAAAAGAAUGCACACCUAUCACCGGUGUCUCUAGCGAUGUCCCAUGCCUUAACAUAUACACUUAACUCAAAAUAGUUGUUCAUAGACAUUUUUCACGGAUGAAUACUUAUGCAGAACUAGAUACCAUUAAAUUCACACUCAGACAUUGUAACACCCCUCACCCAGCCCGGUCGCCAAACCCGAGUUACAUGACACUACAACAUUAUCGUAACUUUAUCACAUGCAUACACAAUUUCAAGCAAGAACAAUUUUUAUUAGUUGAAGCAUUUUCAGAGGUGAUUGCGACUAGACAAACAUUAUACGACAUUCAAAAUAGUUUAAAUACAUGCUUAGGGACCAUAUAGCAAAUUUCCAAAAAAAAUAAUGUAGGUAUCGAUACACAAUAAUACGUAUCAAUAUUUUGGGAAGUCAGGUAUCGAUACUAAUAAGAAAAUCAAUACCAUUCCAGCAUUCUAUUUUUUCAACUCAAUUUUGAAUCAAAAUGUUGUAUUGAUACAUAAACAAAGGAAUCAAUUUUAGGCACCAUUUUCUUUAUUAUAUUGCUUCCAUUUAUCAUCAUCUAAAUCAACUCAAAAUCUAAAAUCUUGAACCCCAAGAGCGAUCUUGAAUAUUCAACAAAUUCUAUUACACAUGAUAAUAUUCAAAGAUUUGAAGGCAAAUGUAAUCAUAGUUUGUGGGUUAGCUAAUGUUUUAUGUUUUUUGAGCUAAUUAUGAAUAAUAAUUGAACGGAAAGUAUUGCACGAUUGGAAUGAUGAAGGAUGCUUGACAAUUUUGAAGCGAUGUAAAGAGGCCAUUUCAAUCCAAGACAAGGUAGGAAGAAAGUUGAUCAUAAUUGACAUGGUUGUGAAGGAGAUUGAGCAAGUGAGUGAUGAAGCCUCAAGCUUAACUAAAACACAACUCUUUUUCGACAUGUUGAUGUUGGUAUUAGUGGCUAGAAAAGAGAGGCAAGAAGAAGAAUGGGCUAAACUACUUUUAGCAGCUGGCUUUAGUUCUUACAAAAUUACUCCUAUUGUGGGUUUUACAUUUGUCAUUGAGGUUUACCCCUAAGAGCCAUUUGUUAUUGCAUUAUUAGGGUAAUAAUAAUGUCGAGAAAGUCAUAGUUAAACCGGUGAUGUCAUUACCUGUUGACGUCGUUGGCUGGAGUUGUUUACUAGGAUUUGAUCAUUAUGUUGCUCAUUCCUAUAAUAAGAAUUGUUGUUGUGGUCACCAUAGUUUUAAAUAAUUUUAUAGUCCAAAAAUCGAAUAAUAAUAGGAAAGAAAAGUAAAUAAAUUAAAUCAUAAUGGUGUUUCAAGUUCAAAGUUCAUGAUACGUCUGUAUACCAAUUUCGAUCCUAAGUUCGUUAAUUAUAUAAGAAGUUUAAGUAAUAGGGUGAGCUUAACAAGCUCAGUGUAAGUCUAAACAGUCAAGCAUAUUACAUACAUUCAAGCAUUUCUUCAUAGAACCAAAUAACACAAUCAAUAUUCAUAAUAACAUUCUUAUGUAUCAUGACCAUGAGACAAUGCACAUAUGAAUUCCUACCCAAACCAUCCACUACACACCACGAGUUCCCCAAAACCCAUCUGUUGAACUCCAACAUUUGCGAGCAAAGCUUGAUGUGGUAGAAAUCACCAUAUAACAUAAAUGUAGUAAACUUGUCGUAUAACAUAUAAUGCAUUAAAAUUUCCAAUAUCAUAUAAUGCGAUAAAAUCGCCAAUUCUCUUGGUGCUCUAGGUGCAGUGCACUAAUAUGUGGACUUAAUAUGCCACCAGAACUCCACAGAACUCCUCCGUCAUCCACAUAAUCCCACAUCAUGCACAUGCAAUAUGUCAUACUAUCUUAUACAUAGCCAUAAAUCAAUAAUUUUCACAUUUAGUUGGCAUUCUCAAUACAUGUCCAUAAUUAUCACAUACUUUCAAAAUAUGGAAUCAAUAAUCCAACUUUCAAACUUCCAUAAAGACGAUAGUAUUCCCAAAACACAAUUUCAUGUGCUUUCAUUUUUUUUUCUGUGUGCAUAUACAACAGUCUUUCAAACAUAUCAUAGCAAUUCACUUGUACAAAUACAUCAUGCAUAAACCUUAUUUUCAUUCAUAAACAUGCCAUACAUACCACCAAUCAUACAUUAAAUCAACAAAACAUUCAUGACAAUGUCAAUCAUUUAAUCAAACUAGUAGCAACACUACCAUGCCAAAAAGUUAGGGCUCAAAACGUACCUAAUUCGGCCACUUACAAAUUUAAUUUCUUAGCUAUUAAGCCAAGAUCAAUCAACAAUAUAAAUCAUCAAUUUAAUCAUAAUAUGUAUUAUUACCAAACAAGUUAUUGAGUUUAGGUCUUACACCUUAUUUACGCUUUUUUUUGCAGCACACUAGCAAAUCUUGCGGUUUCUUUAAUAAACUUUAAAACGAACCUAAAUUAACUAACUUAAAAGAAAUUAGUGUAUAACUCAAUAAUUACACCUCUUAUACAGAUCCUAAACACCCACUUAUGGGUUCAAUCCAAUCAUCACAAUUUCCCUUAUUUUUUGAAUUUAAACUAGUUAGAUUUCUUACACUAAUUUGAGGUGAACCGUAUGCACAAACGUCUUUUGGAUUUACUGAUUAUUUGGAGCAUUCAGGUCAGCACCUAAUAUAUUUAAAUACUAUAAAAUUAGUAGCUAAUAUUAAUUAAAAUCUUUCAUUUAAGUAAUCCAUAAGUUUUUCCCAAGAUCUUUGUCGAAACAACAAACUAGUUUACAAUUACCCACACUUACGCUUCUCGAAUUGUCAGAUCCGAUUUGUCAAUUGGUUAGAAAUUUUUUUUCCUAAUUAAAACAUGUUUCAAGUGUGAUUAGAAGGGGUUCCAGAACCCAAAUCAUGCUGGAAAAAGAUGGGAAAGAAUUAAAGAACAACAACCCCCUUUCUUGCCCAUAGGCGCAUGCACCACCACCCGUGGUGGCCAAUUUUAGGGUUGAUUUAAAACCACUUUAGGAAUUGAUUAAAAAUAUAGAAGGAGAAAGAAAGAGAUCUUACACAAGCUAGAUGCUAUUGGCGGCAAUGACACUUCUUGGAAAUGAUAGGAAUCGAUGUUGGAGACUUACUAUUUUAGAUUUGGGGCUGAUUUAAUUAGAGAAAACUGAUAGCAAUAGGAUGGAGGAGAUGAUGCAAAAUAUUGUGGCAAAAAGAAAAUAAAAAGAUGAUAAAACUAGGUGUUAUGGGUGACAACAACGGAGGAAGAAAGAAAAAUUAAAGAUCAAUGAAGAGAGGAGAGGGGAUGAACGCUAGGGUGAGGAAAAAAUAGAAUAAAUGUUGAUUAUUUUGUGUAAAAUUAACAUUUAUACCUAGGGUUACAAGGUUUUGGACGACACAUACACUAAAACCAAGAGAUUUUAAAAAAAAUAAUUAUUUUAUAAUAAAAGGGAUUUGAACUUGGGACCUCAAAUUAAAUUCCAUGCUUUCACAUUUAACAACUAACCACUUGCCUAACUUCUUAUUUUUUAUAUAAUUUUGCAUUAUCAUUAAGCUAAAUUUUGGGAUGCCACAGCUCUACCCCUUAAAGAAAUUUCAUCCUCGAAAUUACCUUAUUUGGAAAGAUGAGGAUACUAAAGUUGAAUCGAGUCCUCCGGCUCCCAAGUAGCCUCCUCAACUCUAUGAUUUCUCCAAAGCACUUUAACUAAUAGAAUUGGUUUCGCCUUAACACUUUGAUUUCAUUAUCUAAUAUCCGAACUGGUUCCUCCUCAAAUGUCAAAUCUGGUCUAACCUCAAUCUUUUCAAUAGGGACAAUAUGCGAGGGAUCAGAUUUAUACCAUUUCAACAUUGAGACGUGAAAUAUAUUGUGAAUAUGAUCCAAUUCAGAAUGCAAUUCUAGUUGGCAAGCCACAAGACCAACUCUUUUAAGCACUCGAUAAGGACCAAUGAACCUAAUGUUUAACUUGCCUUUUCGACCGAACCUCAGAACUUUCUUCUAUGGGGAGACUUUAAGAAAAACCAAAUCCCCCACAUUGAAUUUGAUGUCCUUGCACUUUAAAUCGGCAUACAACUUCUGUCUGUCAGAAGCUGCCUUUAAUAUAUCUCGAAUCAAUCAAAUUUUAUCCUCGAUCUCCGUGACUAAUUAUGGAUCAAUCAACUUUCUUUCACCCACUUCAGUCUAACAUAAAAGCGAGCGACACUUGCGACCAUAAAGAGCUUCAUAAGGUUCCAUUUGGAUACUUGACUGAUAACUGUUAUUAUAGGCAAACUCUGCCAUUGGUAGAUGUUCUUCCCAACUACCUUGAAAGUUGAUUACACAACUCCUCAAUAUAUCUUAUAGAAUCUGAAUAACCCUCUCCGAUUGACCAUCAAAUUGUGGAUGAAAAGUUGUACCGAAAUCCAAUAGAGUACCCAAGGCCUCGUGCAAUUUCUUCCAGAAUCAAGACGAAUCGAGGAUCUUAAUCUAAAAUAAUUGACACUGGCACACCAUGCAAUCUCACUAUAUUGGAGAUAUAGAGCUUGGCAAACUUUUGAAGAGAAUAAUCUAUAUGAAUAGGAACAAAAUGGGUGGACUUCGUCAAUCUAUCCACUAUGACCCAAACUGAGUCUUUCUUAGUAGGUAUCAAUGGCAACCCUCAAAUGAUGAUUUUUUUAGUAAAUAGAGUUUAAAUGAGAUUAACGAUUUGCGUUAAUAUAAUUUUAAUUUAUUCUAAUAAAUAAAGAAUACCUAACAUGGUAAAGAAAUAACAAUCCAAGUCAAGUAGUUUGAAGUAAAUAAUUAAUUUGAUUAGUUACGAAAGUGGGUAUUUUUUUAUAAUUUCAUUGGGUGCCACCAAGCUAUUAGGCGGAACCACUUUAAAUCCUACUCAAUCAUAUGUCAAUUAUUUUGGUGAGCAAUUUUUUUCAGUAGUAUCACUUAAUACAUUGACAAACUUAUUUUGAUUUUUAUAAAAAAAAAUUACGGGUAUGCAAUUUUUAAUUUCAAUUUAAAUAGUUUGGUGGUUUUAUCCGUAAUUUGUUUUACUUUAGUCUAUGCACAUGUAAUUAUAAUUUUAAUUCAAUUUGAAUCACAUGUUUAUUUACUUUUGAUAUUUACUAAGUGACAGUUUGGUGACACCUAAUGACACUGUAAAAAAAAGAACUUGAAUAAGAGAUCUCAAACCUAAAAUAGGAGUAAUUUUGUAGUUACUAAACCCUAUAGCAAAAAAUAGUUUAACCCAUUCUUAUUGUCUUUCUUUUUCGGUCACCAAAACCAUCAUUAGCAUAUCGAAGAAGAGCUGCGUUUCUAUCGAGUUGAAGGCUUCACCAUUCAUUUUAUCAUUCUUCAUCAAUACCACAUCUAUUAUCACCACAUUUCCUCCCUUCUUAUUUUGUCUAGAAAUUGCCUCCUUAUAAUGCUUCAAAAUCUUCAAGCAUUCAUUAUCAUUCCAAUCAUGCAAUAUCCACUAUUUAAUUAACACAAAAGCAUAACCUAUUCUUUGAUCAAAAUGAUAUGAUUAUAUCUAUUGCACAUUAUUGUUAAAACAGAGAUAAUUGAUAAAAGAUUCAGAAAAAAACCUUUAGUAAAAUUGCAUUUGAAGCUAGAACUUCCUUAAACAUGUCAACUGCAUCAUAUUUCAAGUUCCCACUAUCUUGUAAGUUAGUGUUGAGCAUUGGCCUGAACUUCAACAAAAGACCAGCAGCAACUCAGUACAAGACCAGCAGUAGCUCCAGCUAAAGUGCAGUACUGAAGCUAAAUCGAAUGCAACAGUUUAUUUUGUUCCUAUGUAACUUUGUUUAGUUUACUUGUAAUUUGUUCACAAAGUUAGUAGGAUUAUUUUAGGAUUUGAAUUGAUGUAAUAGCUGAUAUGUCAACUUACUUUUGUGUGUAAUUUAAGUUAGUAUUAGUCAUGUAUUAGUGGGAGCAAUUAAGUCAUUAGGUAAUUGUCCAACUUUUUUGUAACUCUCUUAUAUUUUUCAAAUUUUGAAUGAAAAUCAGGUUGAAUUUUUCAGUUAUCAUUCUUGCAAAGUUUCAUUCUGUUUUUGCUUCGGUUAUUUUGUUUUGCUGCCAAAAGUUCCAACAAAUGGUAAUCAAAGCCUAUCAUCUUUAAGGGCCUCUAUUGUUGGUUGUUUUUUGUCAAAAACAAAACCUGAGAAGGAAGAAAUCGAAGCUGCAAAAUUUGUUUUAGCAUGAUGAGCUUAAAACCACCUCCACCACCUGUGUUUACUAGAGAGAACUAUCACAUUUGGUUGGUUAAGAUGAAGACAUGCUUUCAGGCACACGAUUUGUGGAAUGUGGUCAAGAAUGAUGUUGAACCACCUCCAUUGAGGGCCAAUCCCACCAUUGCUCAGAUUAGGCAGCACAGUGAAGAGUGUGCCAAGAAGCACAAAGCAAUGGCUUGCUUGCAGAAUAGAGUAUCUGAUGUGAUCUUCACUAGGAUAAUGGCCUGUGGCUCAACAAGCAUAGGAUAAGCUGAAGGAGGAAUUCAUGGGGUCAGACAAAAUAAGUUAGCAACAAGUAAUCAAUCUCAAGAGAGAUUUUGAGAACCUGAAGAUGAAAGAGUCAGAGACCAUCAAGCAGUACUCAGACAGGAUAAUGGCUACUGUCAAUAGCAUAAGGCUCCUUGGAGAAGACUUAAGUGAGAGCGGAGUUGUUGAAAAAGUCAUCACUACUCUCCCUGAGAAGUUUGAGUCUAAAAUUUCAUCACUUGAGAACUCGAGAUAUUUGUCAGCUAUCUCAUUGUCUGAGUUUUUAAACUCCCUGUAUGCACUUGAGCAAAGGAGGGUCAAUAGGUAGGAAGAGCAUCCUGAAGGAGCUUUCCAAGCAAAGGUCAAUGGAGGCUCGGGUUCAAAUCAGAAAGGGAAGAAACCAUGGCUCGAUAAGAAGGAAAAAUCAAGGAGAGAUGCAGUAAAGAAGAGGUUUUCAUAAUGCAUUCACUGCAAAAUGACUACACAUUUGGAGAAAUACUUUUGUAUAGGCUAGACAUCUAGUGCAGAGGCUGCAAACAGUUUGGCCAUGUUGGGAAAGUGUCCAAAAGCAAAGGGAAGGAACCAGCUUAGCAGCAAGCUCUAGCUGCUAAAGAUCUUUAAGCUCAAGAGGAGCAUGUUUUCAUAGCCUCUUACUUUGCAAGCUCAAGCAAAGUCAGAUGUGACUGGCUAGUGGAUAGUGGCUGUUCACACGACAUGGCAGCUGAUGAGAAGCUGUUCAAGGACCUUGAUAGGAGUUUUACUGCAAAGAUCAAAAUUGGUAAUGAGAAUCUGAUUGAAGCCAAAGGCAGAAGAGAUGUUGUGAUCAACACUUGGUCAGGUAACAAAGUAAUUUUUGAUGUGUUUUUUGUGCCUGACAUAGAUAAGAAUAUGCUUAGUGUUGGUCAGUUAGUGGAAAAAGGGUAUUCACUGGUCUUUAAAAAUGGCUCCUCCAUUGUCAAAGACUCACAUGGUUAGGAGUUAGUCACAGUAGCAAUGAUAGAUAGGUGUUUUAUGCUCGAUGUGAAUCAACUCGAGAAGAAGGCUUACACAAGUCUUGUUGACAAUGCUGGCCUAUGGCACCAAAGACUAGGUCAUAUCAACCAUAGAUCACUUGACUUACUGCAUAAGUUGAACUUGGUUGAAGAUAUGCCUAAGGUUGAAGUCAAAUUCACUGUAUGUGAAGUCUACCAGCUUGGUAAGCAGGCUAGAUUGCCAUUUCUAGUUAAUAAGGCAUGGAGGGCUCGAGACAGACUUGAGUUGUUCCAUUCUAAUAUCUGUAGGCCAAUAAGGACUCCUUCUUUGAAUGACAACAAGUAUUUUGUGCUAUGUAUUGAUGAUCUGACCAGGUUUUGUUAGGUUUAUUUCUUGAAGAAAAAAUCUGAAGUGUUUGAAGCAUUCAACAAGUUUAAAGCUUUAGUUGAAAACCAUACUGGCUGCAAGAUCAAGGCUUUGAGAACUGAUAAUAGCACUGAGUACCUAUCUGAAAGGUUUCAGAAAUUGUGUAAACAAGUUGGGAUUCAUCAUCAACUAACAACAGUCUAUACACCUCAGCAAAAUGAAGUAUAUAAGAGGAAGAAUAGAACUGCGCUUAAUAUGGCCAGAUGUCUAUUAUUUCAGAGCAAGUUGUCAAGCAAAUUUUGGGCUGAGGCAGUCAAUACCUCAGUGUACCUGCUCAACAAGCUACCAACUCAUGCCGUCAAAGACAAAACUCAUUUUGAAGCUUGGCAUGGACUCAAGCCAAUUGUUUCACAUCUGAGAGUGUUUCGUUGUGUCUGUUAUGCCUUCAUUUCAGUUGAGAAGAGAACCAAGCUUGAAAGAAGGGUUGUUCCAGGGAUAUUUAUUGGGUAUAGCAACACAAAAAAGGGCUACAGGGUAUUUGAUCCUUCAACAAAAAGGAUUUCAGUGAGUAGAGAUAUAAGGUUUGAUGAAGAGAAGGUUUGGAGCUAGAAUGAUGUAGAUGCAAAGUUGAUUGAAGAAGAUCAACUUGACAACAACCUGGAAUCAGUUGAAAAUGAGCCUAGCAAUGAAGAUUUUAAUGACGCUCCUAUGAGAGGUACCGGAAGAAGGCCAUGGAAGCUGAAUUAGACAUGAUCCAUAAGAACGACACUUGGGAAUUGGUUGAUAGACCAGAUUAAAAGAAAGUUAUAGGUGUCAAGUGGGUGUUUAGAGCCAAGUACAAUGCUGAUGGCUCAUUAAACAAACACAAAGCAAGGCUUGUAGUGAAAGGCUACAGCCAGCAAUAUGGCAUCGAUUUCAUGGGCUCAUCAAUUAGAUGUUAAGUCAACAUUUCUGAAUGGUUUCCUCACGGAGGAGAUUUUUAUUGAGCAACCAGAUGGGUUUAAGGUCCUAGAAAAAGAGGACAAAGUCUACAGGUUAAAAAAGGCACUGUAUGGCCUAAAGCAGGCACCAAAGGCCUGGUAUGACAGGGUUGGCACAUACCUGUCUAGGCUUGGGUUUGAGAAAAGUGUUAGUAAAGCUACACUUUAUGUGAAAAAGUCAGAAAGUGAGACCUUGUUGAUUAUAUCUCUCUAUGUGGAUGACUUACUUGUGACUGGAAGCAAAGAUGAAUUGAUCAGUGAAUUCAAAGUGCAAAUGCAAGAAGUGUUUGAAAUGACAGAUUUGGGAGUCAUGACAUACUUUCUUGGUAUGGAAGUGAACCAAUCUAAUCAAGGCAUUUUCAUUGGCCAACAUGCCUUUUCCUUAAAGAUUCUCAACAGAUUUUGCAUCUUGAAUUCCAAAACAGUCAGCACACCAGUAGCACAAGGAGACAAGCUGACCAGUAGUGGAAAUCAAAAAAGGGUUGGUGAGAAAGAAUAUCAAAGCCUGGUAGGUUGCUUGCUCUACUUAAUAACAACUAUACCUGAUAUUAUGUUUGGUGUUAGUCUUUUAUCAAGAUUUAUGCACUGCUAUGAUGUGACUCAUUUCAAAGUAGCUAAGAGAAUCCUCAGAUAUGUAAAGGGGGCCUUGAACUAUGGAGUUAAGUUUGAGAAUGGAAAGGAGUUUAAGCUAUCAGGAUACUCUGAUAGUGAUUGGGCUGGCUCUGUAGAUGACAUGAAGAGCACCUCUGGUUAUUUCUUUACCCUUGGAUCAAGAGUUUUCUGCUGGAGAUCAAAUAAGCAACAAACUGUUGCUUAGUCCACAGCUGAAGCAGAAUACAUUGCAGCUGCUACCGCUGUUAAUCAAGCCAUUUGGCUUAGAAAGCUCCUGUAUGAUCUUAAUGAAGAACAAGCUGAACUAACUGAAAUCAAAGUUGAUAACCAAUCAACUGUUGCCAUAGCUAAAAAUCUAGUCUUUCAUGGAAAGACUAAACAUUUCAAGAUCAAAUUUCAUUUUGUUCGAAAGGCUGAACAGUCAAAAGAAAUCAAUCUUGUUCAUUGUAGCCCAGAAACUCAAUUGGCUAAUAUUCUGACUAAGCCAUUAGAAGCUACUAGACUUGAAGCUUUAAAAAGCAAAAUUGGUGUUUGUUGCAUACAAUCUAAGGAGGAGUGUUGAGCGUUGCCCUGAACUGCAACAAAAGACCAGCAGUAACUCAGCACAAGACUAGCAGCAGCUCCAGCUGAAGUGCAACAUUGAAACUGAACAGAAUGCAACAGUUUAUUUUGUUCCUAUGUAACUUUGUUUAGUUUACUUGUAAUUUGUUCACAAAGUUAGUAGAAUUAGUUUGUGAUUUGAAUUGAUGUAAUAGCUGAUAUGUCAGCUUACUUUUGUGUGUAAUUUAAGUUAGUAUUAUUCAUGUAUUAGUGGGAGCAGUUAAGUCAUUAGUAACUGUCCAACUCUUUUGUUACUCUCUUAUAUUUUUCAAAUUUUGAAUGAAAAUCAAGGUGAAUUUUUCAGUUAUCAUUCUUGCAAAGUUUCAUUCUAUUUUUGCUUCAGUUUUUUUUUCUUUAUCUUUUGUUUUCCUGCCAAAAGUUCCAACAGUUAGCAACAACAUGAGGAAGAUUAAGCAUAAUACACUCCAGGUAUGGAAACACAUCAACAAUGGCCUUGCUCAAUGUUCUGGUACCACCUCCAACAUCCACCAAAGAAUUCAAUCUCUUGAACACCUUCUUGCACUUGUCAAUAAGAUUUCUAUUAACCAAUUGAUCAUCGCUAGCCAUGCCUUCAUUAAACAAACUAUCUAGCUUUUGGUCAUGUCCGGUAUAGUCUUAGAAUGUCUUUCCGUGUGUGGUAUCAAAUGGAGUAUGAUCAUUAUUUUGGAACCAGGUGCCUAAACAAUACCAAGGCUCUGUUAAAAUAGGAUCCAACAUAGCUUUCAAAAAAGGUGUUACGCUUAAGGGAUUAUCCUUAAGUAGCAGAUGAGAAGCAUUUCUAAGAACAUAACCAUCUUCUUGAGCAUCAUUGCAUAAAUUUCGUUGUGCAAAGAAGGCCGAAUGAGCUAAAAUACGCAUGAGCCGGUAGAUGUUGCAUGCCUUGGUAGGGUUGAGCAUUGGCAGUGCAGCAUCCAAAUCAGUAAUGGCUAUGGGCUUGCCAUGAUUUUGAAUAAUAUAUGGGAUACCUAAAUGAAUUGCACAUUUGAGAGACAUGGAAUUUAUGAAAUUCAAAAUGUGGUUCAAAACGUGAGCUUGAGCUUGAAGUAGCUCAUUAACAUACUUUCCGUUCGCAUUCACCAUAUCCAUCUUAGCCAAGGUCUUUUGGCCUUGCUCUGAACCUACGUAACACUGGAAUUUGCUAUUUAUAGACCGUGAAACAUAUCUGUAAGUAUGGCUUUACUCUGAAUCCGCACAACACUGAAAUUUUCUAUUUUUAGAAUAUUUUUAUGCCUUUUCGUGGUCAUUGGUUCCCAUGUUGUAACGUCUCAAUAAUAGAGUUAAAUCUGUUCAUUGUAAUAAUAGUAAAUGAGCCCAACGCUACCAUAAAGAAAUAUCAUUAAAGAUAUUGCAAAGGCGAAUUGAUCUUCCAUCCAAUGUUGUCUUCAAUCAACCUUUAAAACAAAAUAAUUAAGAAAUUAAAGAAAUAUCAUUUCUCUUAAAUUAUAAUUGAUAUUAUUAGUAUAAUAUUUUUAUUAUUGUAAAAUAGAUGUUCAUGCAGCCCCAUAAUGCCCAAGAAUUCAUUUUCUUGCAACUCUCGUACCCCUAAAAAUAUAUAAGGAACCUUAAUUAUAUUUAUUAGAGUUUUAUAACUUAUGGUGGUUGAGGCCCUAAAAAUAGAAGAUAUGUAUAAGUCUUCUAUAUAUCCCAAAUUUAAAGUUGAAUAAUCCUUUCAUUUUUUUGUUAUUCUCUCUUGUUCAUUCUAUAUUUCUUUUUGUUUUAUAAUACAUUAUCAGCACAAUUUUGUUAACGAGUAAUAGGUUCUUAGUUUGUGCAAAAUUUUGUUGGGCUUUAAGCAUUGGAAAUUAAUUGUUUGGUUAAAAAAUCGUGUGUGGUUGCUUGAGAUUUGUUUGGGGACGACCACUUUCUCUUCACUACAAAGAAUGCUCAUAGUCUAUACUUCUCAUCCACAAUUACCUAAGUAAGUCUAAUAUAUAUUUUUUUAAAUUUGAUUCGAUUUCUAUUAAGAAGUUAAAUUUAUAUAAUUCUCUAUUUGCAUUUCUAUGAAUUUAUCAAUCCCUUCUUAGAGUUUAAUAAUUGGAAUUUCUACGUGAAGUAUAUGUUUUUUUUAUAGAAUUGAUUGGUUUAGUUUUAAUUUUGAUUAAAAUAUAUUAUUGUUCUUAUAUCUUCUUAUCUAUUGUAAAGGUAUAUUAUAUGCAAUAAUUAGUUUGGAGUUUAAAUUUAUACAUGCUUGAGAAUUGUAUAAUGAAUUUUUUGCUACAACCUCACUAAGAAAGUGUGUAAAAGAUUCUUUAAAAUUAUGGAUUAGUUUUGAAAGAAAAUUAUGAUAAAAAAAUUAUCAUUAGAUAUAUUUCAUUCUCUAAAGUGAAUGUCAAUCUUAAAAAUGACAAAGUUAUAACUGCGGUUAUGAGCAUGGUCUUUGAUGAGCUAUUAUGGGUAUAAUAAUCACUAUAAUUAUAGUGAUUAUAAUAAUUCUUUUUUCUCCUAUAAAGUGGAAUGGUAAAUUUAAAUAAGAGAAUCACUAAAGUUUUCCAAAUAGCCCUUCAAAGAGAACAAAAAUAUUUUUGUGAUACUCAAAAAUCAUUUGACACGUGCAUAUUGAUUGUGUAUUUUUCCAAGGUUUCAUCAAAAAAAUGAAAGGGAACAUGUGUAUAUACACAUUUGAUCAUUUUUUAUCAUUGAAAUUAAUUUGGAAAGUUGACAAUUUUGACGUAAUCCCUGAAGCGAAUAUUGCACAAAGUUUUAUAGAAAUUAUAUUUCUUUUGUUGAGUUAAUGACAUUAUGGACCUCUCAUUGAUUUAGACAUUUUUAGAAGUAAAUGUCAUAGUUGAUACAAAAUAAAAGGAGUGACAACGGAAUUAUAAAUUGUCACAAUUUAUAUUGACAUUAUAAUUCUAUUAGUUGUGGAAAAGUAUAAGGCUAAAAAAAAGAUGAUGCUAAUAAACAUUAUGAUAAAUAUGAAUGCAUUGUGUUCAUGCCUGUAGCAUGUCUAAAACAUUAAAUUUGGCAAAGUCUUAUAAAAAAAAAAGAGAGACUCCAUAUUGCAUGAUAAUAAAAUUUGAAUUAAAAUUAUGCUAUAAGAGUUGGAGGUUAGAAAUUUUUAAUUUUAAACCUUUGCAAGUUUAAUAUCUUAUUGUGACCUAAUAAUAUUUUGUAUUUUAUUGUAUUACGGUAUAUAAAAAAUUAUCUAACCGCAUGCUUGUUAAAGUGAUUGAGUAAUGUCAUUAAUUUAUUUUUUGCUAUGUUUAGUAUAUAUAUUAUUUAUACUUAUUCUUUAUACAAAUAUACAUCUUCUUUUAUAUGAAUAUGUAGGGAUUGUCCUGAUUAAGCAACAAACAAAUAAAAAAUAGCUGAAGUAAUUGAGAAAUUGAGUACACAAAUUUAACGUGAGAAAACCCCUUUAAAGAAGAUAAAAAACCACGGGCAAAAGUAAUUUUACUAUAAUGGCAAAAGAACGAAGAGUAUAAAAGAUGGAGAUAAAAACUAAACCCCAAAACAAAGAACCCUCAAAACGUAAAUACAAAAUUCUCCAAAAGUGUUAUGAGUUCUAAUCCUUUUUAAUGGAUGUAUUUUUUAAGGUUAUAAAAGAGCAUAUUUAUAGGCUAAAUUCGUAAUAAAAUAAUCUAGACUAAUUAGAGUUCGACUGAAACAGAUAAACAAAGUUUAACCGAGAGAUUACCUCUCAAAUUUGACUGAAAUGUAAGGCAUACUCAACAAAUCUCCACCUUGAUUCAUAUUUUCACAACGUCAUUUUUGCCAAAUCUCGCCACGGGCCUAUGUUGAACUAUGUAGAGAAUUAAUUAAGUUGAAUCUAUGCUUAGAAGCUGGAAGACUUCUAACAUUAUUGCUAAAUCAAAACUAACCCGGGUCUGACUUUCACGAACAGAGUGCCCUAACUUUUCAAAACCUGCAUCCAAAAGAGAACCUUUCUUCAACAAAACAAUCAUACCUUUUUCCCUCCUGUGACCAAGUUGCCUCCACUCCAAACGAGUUGACUUCGACUCUGUAAUGGACGAGGGAUGUCUGGUUUCAUCGGUCACUAUAGAACCUUCUAGAAUGUAAAGACUACCGGCCUUUUUACCUUUUAACAAAACAAGAGCCCCACGAGACACCUUAAUGACGCUUGACUCAAUAUUGAUUUUGCAACCUUUUGAGUCUAAAACACACAAGCAGAUGAGAUUCUUUCGUAAACCAGGAACAUACCUGACAUUUGAGAGUGUCCUAAUCGUCCCAUCGUGCAUCCUAAUUUUAACAAUGUCACACCCCUAACCCCUCUCCGUCACGAAUUAGGGUUACGAGCAUGACUGUACAAUUAUAAAUUCUACAAUUAAUUUCAUUCAAUAGCAUAAACAUAACUUAAAUCAUUCAUGCAUACACAUAUUUUCCCUAAAUCGAGCCCUCGAGGCCCUAAAAAUACUUUAGAAACAAAUCUAGACCAAUUUGAAAUCAUUUUAAAACCCUAGGAAAAAUUCACAAAAUUUUGAAAAUAAGGGUCACAUGGUCGUGUAUUUAGGCCGUGUGCCUCACACGGCUGAGACACAGGCCCAUGUCUCAGGCUGUGUAAUAAUCGAAAUAGGGACAUACGGCAGUAUCCCAGCCCGUGCCUAUGCCUGUGUAACAUUUGAAUUUGAGACACACGGCCGUAUCCCAGCCUGUGUAACUCACUAAGUAAGGUUACACGGCCAUGUCACACACCCGUGUGCUAUUUGACUUGCACCCUCAGUACUCAACAGAUGACACAUAGCCAUGUCACCAAGCCAUGUGUCUCACACGGCCAAGUCACAUGCCCGUGUGUUUGGCCGUUUGGACCUAAAAUGUACCUUAAACAACAAGUUUACCAUUUCCUACUUUCUUGGGUAUUAAGAACCUCAAAAACCAAUCAUUUAACCUAUUCAAAAUAUGAUCAAACAUACUCAUAACAUGCCAAAACAAUCAUCUUAGGUGACUAACCAAUGUACCCUCAUUGGUACCACAAUUUAUAUCAUCAAAACAUAUCAUCAAUGUCUAAAAUUCAGAAAUUUCCCCUAAGGUCGUGCCCGUCAUUCCGAUCGACUAUAGGCCUUCCGUAGGGUCGAUAUGUGAUUAAAUAUAUUAUAAAACAUGAAAUUUGGUCAUUUUUUGGUAUAUUUUCUGCUAUCCACAAGUGUAUUUGGGAUGUGAUAUGAUAAUUAAAACUGAGAACAAAAUAUUUAAUUUGUAUCUGAUAUGUUAUGUAUGAUUUUUUCCCUGAUCUUAUUUGAUUUUAGGAUGGGUUAUAUAUAUUAUGUGGAGGAAGUGUUUCUGUGAGAUGUGACAUCUCGCCCUCUACACUGGCAGCACCGCUGCAAAUAUUUUGUAAGUGUCUUAACGACACUAAGUGGUAUGUAGGGUUGGAUGAGUGUUUCAAACCUCAUAUGGUGCGUUUGGAUUGUUGAAGAUGGUGUAUAGUAGUUGGGGGCAAGAAUUAUAUAUGUAUGUUUGUAUCUGAAUUGCUUUGUUAAGAUUUUGUACUGUUAAAUUGUCUGGUAAUAAUUAUCUGUUUGAGUUGGUUGUUACACACUAAGUUACAAAAACUCAUUCUCUAUUUGUUUGUCACUUUUAGGUAAUUCAUAGACUUAGGCGGGUCGGUGCGACAGGAGCUCGGUUAUAUUAGUAUUUUGUUCAUCUUAACUAUUUUAAAUUGGGUUUAAGUGUUUUGUAAAAUUUGGAUUGUUUGGAUAUUUUGGGAUCGUUUUGGUUUUGGAUUUUAUUUUUUGUUUCUGCAUGAUACUGAUAAAACGAUUUAUCAAAAAUGUCUAUUUCCCUGCAAACAAUCGAUUUCGAGAAAAUAAACUUAGUUUUCUAAAAUAUAAUGACCUAAGAAUUUCCAUUGCAAAGUAUCCGUUUUAUUUAGAAAUGUAAACAAAUAACGUUUUCAAUCAAAUAAUAAUGUCAAAUAUGUUUUCUAAUAAAAAGAGUUUUUAAGUAACAAAAUUUUACGAUGUUUUUUAAAAUAUACGAAAAUUAGAUUUAUAAUUAUUUUACGUAACAUUUCUAAAUUCAAUUGAAACAUUUAGGCCGAAUUUAGGAUAUAGUUGUACGGUUGUUUCCGUUUGAAUGAAAAUAAUCAUCUUCACUAAAAAUUUAAUAAAUUGACUUGAACUUUAUAAGCAAACUAAAAUAUGAUCACGUAUAUUAUUAUUUGUUUAUCGGAUAACAUUUCAUUCUUAUCAGGCUGCAAUAUUGAAAUCUUAUUGAUAAAGAAGAAACAAAACCAAAAAAUUUUGAAGACCCAAAAUCCAGAAAAAAGGUAAACGUAUUAUAAUACCUUUUUUACUAUACUUUAAAUUGUAUUUUAGUUUCUUAGAAGAAAAAAUAGUAAAAUAUUCCCUGUACCUUAGAUAAGUAAGAAAAAUAGUCUCUCCGUUAAAGUUGUACUAUUAAAUGUUUUUUUUUGGUGUUUAUAUAUAUAAUAUAAUGAUAAAUUUAGCCUUCAAUUUUUACAUAUUUAUUGAAUUUGACCCAUACUCUUUUAUUGAAAGUAAACUGAAAUUUUUUAGAAAAUUUUACAAGAACUUAAUUGAUUUUUUUAAAUUUGUUACAAAGGCUUUUUUACCCUUUACCCUUACUAAUUUCAAAAAAUUUCUAAUUUAAUACCAAUAAAAGAGUAGGGGCCAUAUUGAAUAAAAAUAUAAAAGUUGAGGCUAAAUUUAUUUUUAUACCUUAUAUAUAAACACCAAAUUUUAACAAUGAACUAUUUUACUCACUUAUAUAAUAAACUAGGAAUAAUUUACUAUUUUUUGCAAUAGAAAAAUAAAAUACAAAAAAAAAUGGUGAUACUUUUAUUCGAAUAUGUGCUACAAUAUUAUCACAUCUAUCGUUUAUUUAUUAAUUUCAAAAACGAGCCUAAAAAACAGGAUCAGAUUUUUGACACGUUAAGAAAUUAUAAUGACCGUCCAAGUCCUCAAUCAAUAAUUAAUUGCAUCAUCGGAGAAAAUAUAUAUGGCUUUGAUUUUAAGCAACUUGGUGCAUUGAAAAAGUCAAUUCACUUAUUUAUUUUUGAUAACGUGAGUAGUAUAUUUAGUUUUAAAUCACUGUUUUAUUUGUUUCAAACGUACAUAUUAUAGUAAUAAAAAUAAUUUAAAUCUCGCGGAGUCAAUUAUUUAUUUCUUCGAAAGUAAUAGAAAUAUGAAAAUUAGGAAAUUUAUUAAUCUGACUUAACAAAUACAAUUAGAUCUCCAAUACUUAUACACCAAAAAUAAUCAUUAACAGAAUAUAAAGUUAUCCUUCCCUACUUAACUAACAUUGAACUGUUCUUAACUAAUUUACAUUUCUUAGUUACUAUUGAUAUUCCCCCUACAUAUUCGAUUACAUUUAUGUGAUAACAAGAAAAAGCACCAAUGUUUAACGGUUUGGUAAGCACAUCAGCAACUUGAUCAUUCCAAGGAACGUAGUUGGCCUGAAGUUGUUCGUUAAGCAUCUUGUCACGCACAAAACGUAAGUCAAGCUCAACAUGCUUGACACGAGCAUGUAACACUGGAUUUGCUACCAAAGACGUCAUGCUAGAAUUAUCACACCAAAUUAUUGGUGUACCUUUAAUCCUCACACCUAUAUCAUCUAGCAGAGAACGAAACCAUGUCACUUCGGAUAUUGCAUUAGCUAGACUUCUAUACUCGCCUUUUGAGGUGGAUCGAGAUAUAACACUUUGCUUCUUACAAGUCCAUCCGAUGAGGUUGUUGCAAAGAUACACACAAAAUCCUGAUGUUGACUUACGAGAGCUAGCCCAAUCAACAUAAGAAAAACCUGUUAAGGAGACAUUCGAAGGCUAAAAAACCAGAACAUGAGUUAGUGUACCUCGAAUAUAACGUAGGAUCCGUUUGACAGCCGUCCAAUGAACAUCAUGUGGACAAUGCAUGUAUUUGCUGACUUUCUUAACAGCAAAUGCUAUGUCAGGUCGAGUCAGACAUACGUACUGCAAACUACCAACAACUUGCCAAUAUUUGGUACCAUCCUCAAGUGGAGAACCAGUCAACGAAGUGAGCGCAGGGGAUUUUACCAUAGGUGUAUUAACUGAUUUAGCAUUAGCCAUAUUAGCUCGCUCCAAGAGUUCUCCAGCAUACUUUUGCUUAGACACAUGCAUACAAUCUCCAUUUGUAUCCACUUGAAGGCCAAGAAAAUAUUUCAACUCCCUUAAAUCCUUAAGGAGAAUGUUUGGUUCAAACAUUGAAUCACAUCAUCUAACUCGGAGCUUAUAUCACCUGUCACGGUUAUAUCAUCAACAUAUACAAGAAGAAAAAUACAACCAGAUAGAGUUUGUUUGAAAAAUAAUGAUGAAUCAGCUCGUGAAACCUAAAAAUUCAGCUGUUGAACUAAAAAACCCUUUAAAUUUUCAAACCAUGCUCUCAAUGCAUGCUUAAAAGCAUAGAUAGCUUUGUUCAGUCGAGAAGCUAAAGGCUUCCCAUUGACAUCCAAGGCCCCCAAACUAGGUGAUUGUCUCUUGUAUAUAUCUUUAGCCAAAUCACCAUUUAGAAAAGCAUUAUUGACAUCAACUUGGUGUAGUUUAUCCUUUCUCGACACAACUAGCUCAAUAAUAGCUCGAACUGUGUUUGCUUUGACCACAGGACUGAAUGUCUCAUGAUAAUCCAAUUUAACAGCUUGAGAAAAACCUUGAGCAACCAGACGAACUUUGUUUCGAGCCACACUACCAUCUGGGUUCUUUUUUAUCUUGAACAACCAUUUGCAGCCAACAAGGAAUCAGUUAGCUGGUGUCGACAAUAAAUCCCAAAUAUUAUUUUUUUACUAGAGCUUGUAGCUCAUCAUGAACAACAUCCUUCCAUUUGGGAAUGGCCAUAGCUUCAUGAAUGUCAAUCGACUCAACAGAACUAAGAGUAGCAGUGUAAACCUUUGGCUUGUUAACCCCAACUUUGCUCCGAGUAAUCAUAGGAUGAAUAUUACUCUGAGUUGAACCUUGCAUCAUUGAACUGGUAGAAGGAAUUAUAGUCUGAGUAUGCUGACUGUCAUCUGAUUUUGAUACGGACAAGCCUGAAACAGUAGAGUCCUAUUAAGGAUAUUGCAUAGAAUAUUUAGAAGGAGCUGGUAUAGAAACCAUAGGAUGAGUACUCACAGGUGAGGGAAACAUAACAAUUGGAAGAGUAGUAACAAUACUGAAACUAUCAAAAGAUACACCAUACUUCCAAAUUGAAACUUUGGCAAAUGGAAAAACCCUCUUCAUCAAAUUGAACAUGUCGAGAAAUGUACACUCGACUAGUGUUGAAGCCGUGGCCUGCAUUGCAACAAAGAACCAACAGCAACAAAUUGGUCAAAAGACCAACAGCAGCAAAUUGUACAAUUUGAGCUGCUAUAUUGUUUUGUAGCAAAGAAAUGGAGUUGGUUCAAUUAUAAAAUUACUUUUUGAAUAUUUGUUCCUAUGGAACUUAGUCUAAAUCUUUGUAAUGAGUUAGCUAAGUUAGUAGGAAAGAUUGACUGAUGUAAUAGCUGGUAUGCCAGCUUUCUUUUGUAUACAAGUUGCUAUAUUUUUAGUAAGUAAGAGCAGUUAAAUUAGUAGGUAACUGUCAAAUACUUUUGUAACCAUCAUAUAUUCAAAAUUUGAAUGAAAUUAUGAUGACUUCUCAGUUACAAAUUUUCUUGCUGAGUUCUUUUCUUUUGUUUUUUUCUUUCAUUCGUUUUUGCUUUCUUUGCUACUGCCAUUGUUCCAACAAAUGGUAUCAAGAGCUUUCAGUCUUUGAGGGCCUUGGUUGUACACUGUCACUAAGCAAAUUGUGUUUGAAAUAAAAGAAGAAGAGGUUGUUUUGCUUGCUGAAAAAUGAGUUUUACACCACCUCCUCCACCUGUCUUUGCUGGAGAAAAUUACAACAUCUGGGCAGUGAAAAUGAGAACAUACCUGCAGGCACACGACCUGUGGAAUGUUGUUCUCAAUGACACUGAGCCACCACCACUAAGAGCCAACCCGACUAUAGCCCAGAUUAGGCAGCACAAUGAAGACUGUGCCAAGAAGUAUAAGGCUAUGUCGUGCCUUCAAAGUGGAGUUUCUGAUGUUAUUUUCACAAGAAUAAUGGCUUGUGACACUCCAAAGCAGGCCUGGGACAAACUCAAGGAGGAGUUUCAGGGGUCUGACAAGACCAGGCAACAGCAGCUGAUCAACAUGAGAAGAGAUUUUGAAAAUCUCAAAAUGAAGGACUCAGAAACCAUCAAGCAGUAUGCUGACAGAAUCAUGGCUACUGUCAACAACAUAAGGCUGCUUGGGGAAGAAUUCAGUGACCAAAGAGUGGUUGAGAAGGUCAUAACAACCUUGCCAGAGAAGUAUGAAGCAAAAAUUUCUUCUCUGGAAGAUUCAAGGGACUUGUCAACAAUCCCUUUGACAGAGCUUAUAAAUGCUCUCUAUGCUCAAGAGCAGAGAAGGGCAAAUAGGCAGGAGGACCACUAUGAAGGAGCUUUUCAGGCUAGAAGCAGAGAAAGCUCAAGUGCAAACUUAAAUGCCAAAGGCAAGAAGCCCUGAACUGAGAAGAAGAAGAAAGAACCUGUCAAAAGGAAGUUCCCACCUUGUGUCCAUUGCAAGAAGACUACUCAUCUUAAGAAAUACUGCUGGUACAGACCAGACAUUCAAUGUAGAGCCUGCAAGCAAUUUGGCCACAUUGAAAAGGUCUGUAAGAGCAAGCCAAAACCACAACCACAAUUUCAAAGCCAAGCUCAAGCUGCAGAAGAGGUUGAAUCACCAGAAGAGCAUGUCUUUUCAGCAUCAUGCUUUGCAAGCUCGAGCAAAGUUAGUAAAAUAUGGUUUAUUGACAGUGGAUGUACCCACCAUAUGGCUUCUGAUAAGAGUAUAUUUAAGGAGCUUGAGACCACCUUCAAGUCCAAAGUCAAAAUUGGCAAUGGUGAGCUGCUAGAGGCAAAAGGGAAAGGCAAGGCUUUGAUAAGCACUAAGUCAGGUAUUAAAACCAUUUCAGAGGUUCUCUAUGUACCUGACAUUGACCAAAACUUGCUAAGUGUUGGCCAGCUAUUGGAGAAGGGUUACUCUUUGAUUUUUGAAGGCAAAAACUGUUUGAUCAAAAAUGCUGCUGGUGAAGUGUUGACUACAGUGGCUAUGCAAGACAGAACCUUCAUUGUGGAUGUGAAUCAACUGCAAGCCAAGGCAUACGCAUCUCAGUCUGAUGAGACAGACUUGUGGCACAGGAGGAUGGGGCAUGUGAACUACAAUUCACUGAGCAUGCUGCACAAAAUGGAUUUGGUCAGUGAUAUGUCCAAAAUUGAGCCAAAGGAUGCUGUAUGUGAGGUCUGUCAGCUAGGCAAACAGACCAGAUUACCCUUUCCAGUCAACAAGGCAUGGAGAGCACAAGGGAAGCUUCAGCUUAUUCAUACAGACAUCUGUGGACCAAUGAAGACUACCUCCUUAAAUGGCAGCAGGUACUUUGUACUCUUCAUUGAUGAUUAUUCAAGGUUCUGUUGGGUAAAUUUUUUGAAGCAUAAGUCAGAUGUUUAUGACUUUUUCUGCAAAUUUAAAGCCUUGGUCGAAAACCAAGCAAAUUGCAAACUAAAAUGUUUGAGGUCUGACAAUGGUUCUGAGUAUGUAUCUCAGAAGUUUCAAAAAUUGUGUGAUGAUUCUGGAAUUCAACACCAAUUGACUACUGUGUACACACCACAGCAAAAUGGUGUUUGUGAAAGGAAAAACAGAACAGUCCUUGAUAUGGCUAGGUGUUUGUUAUUUGAGGCUAAAAUGCCUAAUGUUUUUUGGGCUGAAGCUGUGAAUACAGCUAUUUACCUGUUGAAUAGGUUGCCAACUAAUGCAGUCAAAGGAAAAACUCCCUUUGAAGCCUGGUUUGCACAGAAACCAUCUGUCUCUCAUUUGAAGGUAUUUGGCUGUCUAUGUUAUGUGUUGGUACCUGAGGAGAGAAGAACCAAGUUGGACAGGAGGUCCAUGCCUGGGGUGUUUGUUGGCUACAGCAAUGUGAAGAAAGGAUACAGAGUCUUUGAUCCACUGACCAAGAAGGUUGUAGUGAGCAGAGAUGUGAAAUUCAGUGAAGCAAGUAGCUGGAAAUGGGAUGGAAUUGAAGCAAAUUUGCCAGAUGGAGAAGAGAUUGAUGUUGAUCUGCAGCAAGCUGAAAAUGAAGAAGUAAUUGAAAACGGCUAUGAUGAUCAACCUGUUCGAGGCACCAGGACAUUAACUGACAUCUAUGAGAGAUGUACAGUAACUAUAGUAGAGCCUUCAUGUUUUGAAGAAGCUGCAAAAGAAAAAUGCUGGCAGGAUGCUAUGGAAGCUGAAUUUAAAAUGAUUCAGAAAAAUGAUACAUGGGAGCUUGUAAACAGACCUGAAAACAGAAAAAUUAUAGGUGUAAAGUGGGUCUAUAGAAUUAAGAACAAUGCAUAUGGCUCUCUUAAUAGACAUAAGGCUAGACUGGUUGUUAAAGGUUAUAGUCAGCAGCAAGGGGUUGAUUUUUCUGAAACCUUUGCACCUGUUGCAAGGUUGGAUACUAUCAGAUUGCUGCUAGCUUUGGCAGCUCAAAAGCAUUGGAAGGUGCAUCAUCUGGAUGUUAAGUCAGCCUUUCUAAAUGGCUUUCUUAAUGAAGAAAUAUUCAUUGAGCAACCUGAGGGUUUUAUGGUCACUGGUGAAGAACAGAAGGUCUACAAGCUGAAAAAGGCUUUGUAUGGUCUAAAACAGGCUCCAAGGGCCUGGUAUGAGAGGAUUGAUGGCUACUUACCAAGGCUCGGGUUCACAAAGAGUAUCAGUGAGCCUACACUCUAUGUUAAGAAGGAUCAGGAGGAAACCUUGUUAAUUGUUUCCUUGUAUGUUGAUGAUCUGUUGGUUAUUGGCUGCAAAGAUGAACUUAUUGAAGACUUCAAGAAACAGAUGCAACAUGUCUUUGAGAUGACUGACCUUGGUCUGAUGACCUACUUUCUUGGCAUGGAGAUAAAACAAGGAAGUGAUGGCAUUUUCAUAAGUCAGCAAACAUUUGCUUCCAAGGUGCUUGAAAAAUUUUGCAUGUUGAAAUGCAAAUCAGUCACUACACCAGUUGCAUUGGGAGAAAAAUUGUCAAGUGCCAGUGAACAUGAUCGAGUAGAUGAGAAGGCAUAUAGAAGCUUAAUUGGUUGUUUGCUUUAUUUAACAGCAACUAGACCAGACAUUGUCUAUGCUGUUAGUCUACUUUCAAGGUUUAUGCACUGCAGUAAUGUGGCACAUCUGAAGGCAGCAAAAAGAGUGUUAAGGUAUGUCAAAGGAACCAUCGAUACUGGUGUGAAGUUUUGGAGGGCAAGGGAGCUGAAACUCGUAGGCUAUUCUGAUAGCGAUUGGGCAGGGUCAGUUGAUGACAUGAGGAGCACUUCAGGUUAUUUUUUCACCUUAGGCUCGAGUGUUUUCAGCUGGAGUUCCAAGAAGCAACAAACUGUUGCACAAUCUACAGUAGAGGCUGAGUAUAUCUCAGCUGCAGCAGCUGUGAACCAAGCCAUUUGGCUUAGGAAGAUUUUGGAUGAUUUGAAUGAAAGUCAAGUUCAGCCUACUGAGAUUAGAGUGGAUAAUCAAUCAGCUGUGGCCAUAGCCAAGAAUCCAGUCUUCCAUGGUAAGACUAAACACUUCAAAAUUAAAUUCCAUUUUGUUAGAGAAGCUGAGCAAUCUAGGGAGGUUAGCUUAGUUCAUUGCAGCUCAGAAAUUCAGCUAGUUGACAUUUUAACUAAACCAUUGGGAGCCAACCGAUUUAAUGCUUUGAAGGAAAGGAUUGGUGUUUGUUGCAUACAGACCAAGGAGGAGUGUUGAAGCCGUGGCCUGCAUUGCAACAAAGAACCAACAGCAACAAAUUGGUCAAAAGACCAACAGCAGCAAAUUGUACAAUUUGAGCUGCUAUAUUGUUUUGUAGCAAAGAAAUGGAGUUGGUUCAAUUAUAAAAUUACUUUUUGAAUAUUUGUUCCUAUGGAACUUAGUCUAAAUCUUUGUAAUGAGUUAGCUAAGUUAGUAGGAAAGAUUGACUGAUGUAAUAGCUGGUAUGCCAACUUUCUUUUGUAUACAAGUUGCUAUAUUUUUAGUAAGUAAGAGCAGUUAAAUUAGUAGGUAACUGUCAAAUACUUUUGUAACCAUCAUAUAUUCAAAAUUUGAAUGAAAUUAUGAUGACUUCUCAGUUACAAAUUUUCUUGCUAAGUUCUUUUCUUUUGUUUUUUUCUUUCAUUCGUUUUUGCUUUCUUUGCUACUGCCAUUGUUCCAACAACUAGUCUUAUCCAAACAUUUAUAACCUUUGUGAUUUGGUGCAUAGCCCAGAAAUGUGCAAGGCGUGGACCUAUACUGUAACUUGUGACAGUUGUAUGGUCUCAGCAAAGGAGAGCAUAAGCACCCAAACACAUGAAGCUUCUUAUAAUCAAGAUUCUGACCAAUAAGCUUUUCACUCAGAGAUAUUCCACCUAACACCUUUGUAGGAAGCAAAUUCAUGACAUACGCAAAUUAAAAGGCAUCAGUCCAAUAAGACAAAGGUAAGGAUGCAUGAGCAAGCAUAACCAAACCAGUUUCCACAAUCUUCCAAUGACGCCUUUACACCAUCCUAUUUUGCUCAGAUGUGUGCAGACAAGUGAGUUGAUGAGCUAUACCACAACCCUUGAUAUAUGAAGUAAAGCUGCGAAACUCACCUCUUUCAUCUGUCUGAAGUUUUUUGAUCUUGACACCUAGCUGAAGUUCAAUAUGAGUUUUGAAAUUCAAAAACAUUUGCAACGCAUCAGAUUUCUUGCGAAGAAAAUAUAUCCACGUGUGCCUUGAAAACACAUCUACAGACAAAAUGUAAUACUGUUUGGAAUCAAUUUUCAAAUCUAAACCUAUUUUAUACACUUAAAUUUUCCAGCGAAAUUUUCAAAAAAAUAUAGAAGUUGCGAAUAAUUAACAUAUUCUAAAAGAAAUAACACUGUUUUUAUCAUAUAUGUAUAAGAACCAUACUCAAUCUCAUCGUAAAACCCUAAUAAUAAAUAUAAAUAACUUUUCAACUAAUUUCAAAACUUCCUAAUAAUCCAUAUCAUGCAUCCUAAAUGAUCAGUUUUUAAAACAUUAUAUCCCAUGCCAUGGAUCCAUAAACAAUAAUAAUGACAAUAUCAAUAUUGAGAACCGAAUUAAUAAUAAUAUUCUUAGAUAAAGUUCAUGACAAGUUGGGACCCUCCAUAUGUCGAGCCCACGUUCUAGCCCGUUGGAGUAUCUGAAAAGAUGGAAAAUAGGAGAGUGAGCUAGAGAGGCUUAGUGGGAGACAUUUUACAAUAGAUCAAUUCAAUAUUUGAACAUGCAUGUCAAUCAUUAUAAUCAAAUUCACAUAAUAACCUUAACAAUAUGAUAAUUCAGUUUCUGUCACUCUAGACAAGCAAACAUUAACACUCAAUCAAAUUCAAUUGAACAAUUCUACUAGAGAGUCAUAAUAUCAUUCACAGUGGGUAUAUGCACAUUUAUCAGUUCAGUCAUUUCAUCAGGUGCCUUUCAAUGAUGAUCAUAUUAUGCAAUGCAACAUUUGUUUAACAUUUCUUUUAACAUUCAUUAAUCUUACCCCUGAUCACUAGCUCUCUAAACAGGGAUUUCCCUAGAACCCUUUCUACCUUUUUACUCACCUCGUGGACUUUUACCACUACACUCUUUUUGGUGCAGACAAAAGCUGUCGUUCGGUUGAAGAUCCACAACUGCUCCCAGAUAAAAGUUUUUAGAGGGAUCGUGGAUGGCCAGUAAAUAAAGUCGUAGUUGGAAUCUACUAAGACUUUGAAUACAUAGCGAACAUUCAUUUAUGCAGUAUGAACUAUCGUUUUUCCACCUUUCAUAACAUCCCCCAUGCAUAUGCAAUAUAAUUAGAUCUUUCAGUUCGUUCAUUCAAUAAUCAUUCAACAUUCUACCUCAUAGGAGAAAUAGGGUAAUAAAUAUAUCAAUCAUUGAGGUAUACGAAAAAUUUAUUUGGCAUGUAUAACAGUUUGUAAAUAUAUAUAAUCAUUCACAAAUUUAAACAAACAUUACUAAGAAAUUAUAUUCUAUUGGUAACCAUAAAAUCAUUCACGAAUUUAUGCCAUCAACCAUAAAUAUUUAAAUCAUAAAUUCGUUCAUUCAUGUGUUUAUCCAUUUUAUUCCUAGUCCGGGACCUAAUUGUAAAAUCUAGUUCUCUAGAUGCCAUUAAAAACCUAAUCAGGGGCUGAGUUUUAAAAAAUAAAUCUAGAUAAAGAAAACCUGUAAUUCUUAUGUUUCAAGGGCCACACGUCGUGUGACCAACCCGUGUAUGAAGCCCCAAGCCCUGUGCGAUGCGUAAGGGUGAAGGUGUAGGAAUAGGCCGCAUAAGAUGUGAAGGGGAUGAGUUGUAGGAGCCACAUGGCCGUGUGACCAGGCUGUGUGCAAGUCUCCAAGCCAUGUGCAAAGCAUGAAUGCAAAGGAAAGCAAGGGAACAUAGCCUUGUGAGGGAUCGUGUAACCUACAUGGGUGGGCCACAAGCCCUUGUGGUAGACUGUGUAUACCUGGCAGUUUUGAAUUUUGACCCGAUUUUUCAUAAAAUGUCACCCACCUUACUUUUUCGAGAUCUCAAGCAACUACCCCACGUUCAAGCUCGAUCCAAACACCUACAAUGGCCUUUCAAUUGGCUAAACGAGAUUAUCAGUAAGGGGUUUUCAAGAUUUGAGAGUGUUUUGACAAAAACUUUAAAGAUUCAAUAACAGAUUGAAAUAUCUGUUAAAGCUUGUUGUUACCCAAGAUUGGAAGGUCCUAAUUGGUAGGGAACAAGAUACUUACUGAUUUUUUACAAGGAUUUGACAAGUAAGUACUGCAAACUUCAAUGAUUUUGAUGAAGACACUAGGUUAGGGCUUGAUUGCAAGGAUUCAAGAAUUCAAAGAUUCUUUUUCCAGCAGUAACGUUUUGAGAACAAAAUUGUAAGAGAGAGUUUUUUGAGAUUAUGAAGUAGAGGUUAGGUUUUUAAUUUGCUAAAAUAACAAAUGGGAAUUUUAGUUAAUUAGGAAGAGACUUUUAAAGAAUUGGGUUGAGCAAGAGUUUGAGGUCUAAUGGGCAAAUAGCCCAGUUGUAUUAUUUGGGAUGUUACAACUCUUAGUUCUCUAUACUUUCUACCAAGCUCUUAACCACUAGGCUAUGAUUUAAUUAUUAAUAAUUACUAAAAAUCUAACAUUAUAUUAUUUGGGAUGUUACAACUCUCCCCUCCUUAAAGGAAUUUCGUCCUUGAAAUUUUACCUGUUUCGAAUAAGUAAGGAUAUUGUUGAUGAAAUGAAUCCUUUGUUUCCCUCAUAACUUUCUCAACUCCAUGGUUUCACCACAACACUUUCGUUAAAGGAAUUUGCUUCCUUCUCAGAACUUUCACAUCCUUUUCAUGAAUUCUAACGAGUUUUUCUUCGAAGGACAAAUCAGAUUGUACCUUAAUUUUUUCAAUGGGCACAAUAUGCAAUGGAUCAAAACGAUAACGUUUUAGCAUGGAAAUAUGGAAGAUGUCAUGGAUACAAUCCAAUUCAGGUGGUAACUCAAGUUGAUAAGCUACAGGACCAAUUCUUUUAAGGAUUUGGUGCGGUCCUAUGAAGUAAGGACAGAGUUUCCCUUUUUGACCAAACCUUAACACCUUUCUUUAUGGUGAUACUUUUAGAAAGACUUAAUCUCCCACAUUGUACUCGAUAUCUUUUCUUUUAAGGUCUGCAUAAGAUUUUUGUUUAUUGGAAGUUGCUUAAAAUCUCUCCUAUAUCAGCUUUAUUCUUUCUUUAGACUCUUGAACUAAUUUGGGACAUAGAAAUUUUCUUUCUCCCAGUUCAAUCCAACACAAAGGGGUUCUACACUUUUGUCCAUACAAGGCUUCAUAUGUAGCCAUUUGGAUGCUUGCUUGAAAACUGUUGUAAUACGAACAUUCAACUAAGGGUAAAUGAUCUUCCCAACUGCCUCGAAAAUCAAUAAUAAAUUCUCUCAGCAUGUCUUCUAGAAUUUGGAUUACCCACUCGAGUUGACCGUCAGACUGUGGAUGAAAAGCAGUGCUAAAAUAUAAACUAGUUCUCAAUGAUCCUUGUAGUUUCUUCUAGAAUUGAGAUGUAAAAUGGAGAUUUUGAUCUGAAAUAAUAGACAAGGGUACUCCAUACAAUCUGACUAUCUUUGAGUACUGGUAAGAAGUAAGCUGACUUAGUUAACCAAUCCACUAUAACCUAAAUUGAAUCUUUCUUAGUCGAUGUUAAGGGUAACCCACUAAAAAAGUCCAUCGUUAUGCGCUCCUACUUCCAUUGUGGAAUUUUAAUAAGUUGCAAUAGCCCAGAAGGAAACUGAUGCUCCAUUUCCACUUGCUGACAAGUCAAACACUUAACUACAAAGUCUAUUAUAUCUCAUUUCAAACCUGGCCACUAGUAUAACUCCUUGAUGUCUUAAUACAUCUUUGUUCCUCCGAGAUGCAUGUCAUAAGGGCUAGCAUGUGCUUCUCGAAGCAUGGUUUGUCUUAAUUCUUCAUCUUUCAGCACACAAAACCUUCAUCGGAAACACAAUACUCCAUUAUCAUUCAAUGUGAAAUCUUUGAUUUUACUCUCUUCUAUCUGCUUAAUGUGGGGUAACAAGGUUAUGUCUAAAGGUUUACCUUGCAACUCGGCUAACACACUUCAAUUGUCAUGCAAACUUAACCUUGCUAAUAUUGCUCUUCAUUCAGUCAUCGACUUUCAGCUAAGGGCAUCUGCCAUAACAUUAGCUUUCCCUAAAUGGUAAUCAAUCACACAAUCAUAAUCUUUCAACAACUCUAACUAUCUCCGUUGUCUAUGGUUCAAUUUGUUUUAGGUAAGGAGGUAUUUAAGGCUUUUAUGAUUAGUAUAGAUGUAACACUUUUCCCCAUACAAGUAAUGUCUCCAUAUUUUUAGGGCCAAAGCUACUACGACCAAUUUUAGAUCAUGGGUUGGAUAAUUGCAUUCAUGAGUUUUUAAUUGUCUUGACGCAUAGGCGGUACCUUACCAUCUUGAAUUAACACACAACAAAGGCCUAUAUAGGACGCAUCACUAUACACGACAUAUUCUUUCCCAAAUUCAGGUUGAAUUAACACGGGUGCUUGAGUUAGAACAAUUUUGAGCUUUUCGAAACUGGUGUGCUAUUCUUCUGUCCACUUAAAAGGAACAUCAUUUCUAAGUAGUUUAGUGAGAAGGGCAGCUAUUACGGAGAAUUCUUCAACAAAUCUAUAUACCUUGUUAAGCCUAAAAAACUGUGGAUUUCUAAAACAUUUUUUAGUUGUUUCCAUUCAAGGAUUGUUUCCACUUUCUUAGGAUCUAUUAAGAUACCCUUGGCGGAUACCACAUGUCUCAAAAACAUAACUUCUUUAAGUCAAAAUUCACAUUUACUCAACUUGGCAUAAAGUUUCUUUUCACGAAGAUUUGUAAGACUUUCCUAAGGUGUGCAUCAUAUUCAAGUUUGAUUUUAGAAUAGACUAAGAUGUCAUCAAUUAAUACCAUAACAAAUUGAUCAAAGAAGGGUUCAAAUACACAAUUCAUAAGGUCCAUAAAAGCAAAUGGGGUAUUGGUUAAAUUGAAUGGCACUACAAGAAACUCACAGUGCCCGUAACAAGUUCUAAAGGCAAUUUUAGGUACAUCUUCUUCUUUAACUUUAAGCUAGAAAUACCUUAGUCUUAGACCUAUCUUUGAAAACACUGUGGCUCCCUUAAAAUGGUCAAACAAGUCAUCUAUUCUAGGUAAAGGAUAUUUGUUUCUUAUGGUAAUCAAUGCAAAGUAUAAGGGUUCCAUCUUUCUUUUUAACAAAAAAGAUUGGCGCUCCCUAUGGUGAUGCUAGGCGUAAUAAACCCGCGAUCCAAAAGUUCCUGAAGUUGGAUUUUCAGUUCGUGCAAUUCUUUUGGGGCUAUACGAUAAGGAGCUAUAGAUGCGGGAUUGGUUUCGGGCAUAAUUUCAAUUUUGAAUUCUACUUCAAGAUUUGGGGGUAUUCUUAGUAAUUAUUUGGGGUAUACAUCAGGAAAGACUUUAAUAGUUUAAAUGCUUUCUAAGGCAUUACUAUCGGUAUUCCCAUUUAAUACAUAGGCUAAGUAAGUUUCACACAUUUUUUGAAUUAACUUUUCGACAACCAUGGCUGCCACAACAUUAGAUAGAUAGCCUCUAUGUUCCCCAAACAUGACAACUUCUUUGCCCUCGAUUGUUCUUAACUUUACACUCGGUUGUUCUUAACUUUACUAUCUUUGUGGCACAAUCUAAGUUCGCCAACCCAUACCUAGUAUUAAAUCAAACUCCCCAAAAGGUAACUUUAUAAGGUCAGUAAGAAACACAACCCCUGAAACCUCUAACGAACAUAUUUUAUAGAUUUUAUUAGCGGUAACAGAUUGUCCCAAAGGGCUUAACAUAGUUACGAUAGUAGUGGUCUCUUCUGCCCUAACACUUAGCUUUUCUGACAUUUCACAAUAUACAUAGGAGUGGGUGGAACUUAUAUCACUUAGGGUGAAACAAGGGGUAGAGUUAACAAUAAAUGUACAUGUUAUAACAUUGGCAUUAUCCUUUUCCUUACGACCUCUUACGGUGUAGACUAGGGUAGGUUGUCUAGCCUUAUUUCAAUUGGCACUGGCAUUAUUAUUUUAGUUCUGGCCUUGGCCCCUCGAAGGUGGUUGGGCCGGCUUCUAGUUUUCUGUCUGAUUUUGGGCUGGAGCUUGGUUUAGACCCGUACGUUACGGACAAUUUCUAAUAAGGUGGUCCAUUGAACCACAGACAUAAUAGAUGCCUUUCUUUUUCCAAUACUCACCGGGGCUUACCACAGUAAUCAUAUUUGGGUUUUUCAUUUUUAUCAUUCACCUCAGCUCCCUUUUGUUGUGGUUUAAUUUCUCUAGUCCGUUUGACAAUACGGAUGUCCGAACCAAAGUUACCCGAAUAUCUUUUAACUAAACUUUAGCUUUUCUUUCAUUCAAUAUGAGUUGUCUAUUUAAUCUUCUUAGCAGUUUUGGCUUUCUCCACUAGACUUUUAGAUACCCUUUCCUAAUGAGUGGCAACAUGUAUACUAAUAUCACUUUGCAACCCAGUUUCAAAUUACAAACUUUUAACCUGUUCAGUGCUUAUCAUUUCCUGGGCAUAACGACUAAGUUUUAAAAACUCAGCUUCAUAUUCAGCUAUUAACUUAUCACCCUGUUUCAGUUCAAGAAAUUCAAGUCUGCGAGCCUCCACAUAUCUUGCACCCACAAAACUUCUUUAUAAAGCUUCCAAAAAAUAUUUCCAUUUGAUACGUUCAACCUAAGUACCUUUUUCAACAGCCUGCCACCAAUGAUAGGCCUUUUCCUUUAAUAAGGACAUUGUACCCUUUAGUUUCUGCUCUGGGGUACAUUCUAGAUACCAACCUUGUCAUAAUCUGACAUUGAGGCCACAUUCCAUCACCAAAUCUCCCAUGCCCCUGACCACGAACCUAGUUACUUUAUUGGAACGAAAUUCCUGAGGCGGUGGUUGUCCAACAUACGCAAGAAUGGCCAUAGUAGACGGAGAAGCAAAUGAUAAUGAUUUGUUCUCCAUCACAAGAGUGGCUGAAAAUGUGACCUGAGAUAGAUGUACUUGUUGAUGGGCUCAGCAUCCAACUGCAUCAUCAUUAUGCCUUGUAAACUGAAUGGCACUUGACUCGUCGUUAUUAUAGAAAUGACAUGGUCAUAUUCUGGAGGAAAGCCAUUAAGAAUGGUUGAUUGAUACUCCUCUAGAGAGAUAUGCUGAUCGCACCUAUCCAUUGAAUAGCAAAGGUGUUUAAUUUUAGCCAAAUAGGCUGAUAUCGAAAGCUCAUUCUUUUUAAAAUUAUGCAGCAAAGAAUGAUACCUCAUGGCUUUAGUAGCAGAUUGAGUUCCAAAAAUCUGCAUGAGAGCACCCCCAAAGUUCAAACGCAGAAGAUGAAUCCUAGUCAACUAAUUAUGCAGCGAAGCACUUCCUGUGGAAAGAAGCUAAGCACACAACGUUCAAUCUUGUUGUUCAUACUGUGCAUACGCUAGGUUUUCAACAGUAAGACCAUUGGCUGCAUCAUCUUCUUUUGAGGGUAUAUGAACUGGUCCAUCAGCAAAAGAAUGUAAUUUGUGAGUUUUGAUUACCAGUAAAACAUACUACUUCCAAGCCAAUAAGGUACUGUCAUCGAUAAGCACUACUACUUUAUGUGAAACAAAAAGCAAAUGCAAUGAAAAAUUUCUUGAUUGUUGAUUCUGUCAAAGGUCGCAGCAUCCAUAGCUAACGGUAAUGCUCUAUAACGCUAAUCUGGUGACAGAGACGAGUUAGGGGUGUUACACCAAUGGUUUCAAAAUCAUAAGGCCAAAAUAUUUGAAAUUAAACACAUAACACUUACUGAUUAUUUAUGCACUAUCACUGCAAGUUAGCAUCUUUUACAAAAUACUAUCACUUUCAUAUAACAUAUAUGUCAUGUAUACAUUUUCACUUUUCACAACAGAUACCAUAUCCACAUAUCACAUACUUGAGCUUCUUAUCACCAUGCACAAAUUCAUAAUCAUAUAAGCACAAAUCCACAAAACAAAUAUAGAUACAAGAAAACUUAUGCUCAGAAUUUAGAAUAGAGAUUUAGGCUACUACUAGAUUCUCCAAUAACACCUGACUCGUGUUUAUGAGCAGUGAUUCCAAACAUUCACCCCUAUGCUUUUGUUGAGAAUUCAAAAACUCAACUAGCUUUUCCUUUAACUUGUAGAAGGCUCCAAUGAAUCCGAGGCUUAACACACAAUAACCAUACAAAAUUCACAACCAGAUUGUAGCCAAGGACUCACUUAAACCAACUAAAACAUCAACCUAUUUUAAGUUCUCAUGUAACCAAAAUUUAACAUAACAAACUUAUAAUGCUCGUAACUCGGUCUACACUUAACCUUUUUUGCCUAAAAUGAAUUAUGUUCAUCUAAUUAGUCAUCUACGUCAAAUCAUCAACUCUUAAACUACUAAAAACUGCCCAAUUCAUAUUAUCAUAAUUUUAUGACAUCUUUUUGGCAAUUUUCACAAAAUUCAUUAAAACGUAAGUAAUCAUCAACAAAACUUCAAAGUGAGUUUAAAAACCUUCUAAUCAUGAUAAAAUGAGUUGAAAAACACUUCAAAACCACGUUUUUACUCAAAAUUCAAAAAUCCACCAUUAAUGUCCCAAAUUUUGGGUUUUAUUAAAAAUUUACGAUUCAAUGGGUAAUACUUCAAUUUUAAGGACUAGAUAUCAUGAAAAACUCAUAAGAACUCAAAAAAUUAUCUUUGAUGGCCGAAAAUCAAACUUUUGAUGCAAACCCAAGAAAAUCCACAUUUGGAGAAGAUGAUAAAAUCUACGGAGUUGUGGGUGUUUUUUGAAGUGAUUUUAUGAGUGUUUAAGGCUUGGGCAUUGAGGGAAAUCAAAAGCUUAUAGUUUGGAAAUCAAAAUCAAAUGGUUUAGUGUUGGAAGAGUAAGGGCCUACCACAAGGGAGAGGUCAAGAAGAAAGUAGAAUAAAUUUACUAUUGAGGCAGGAAAUAGGCUGAAAUUUUAAAAUUUAAGCUAAUUGCCUCUUAAAAACUCCUAGCUUUGCCAUUUUUUUCAAAUCAGUCCCUUGGCCCAAAUUGAAAGACUUUUAAAUCUUAUUUUCAAAAAUUUAUUUAGCAGCUAAGAUGCCAGUUGAAUAUAAUUCUGAUUUACCACGCUAUGAAAUUUCGAGCACUCUAAGGCUAAAAUCCCUAAAACUCCUAGACUCUAUUUUGGGGUGUUACAAUUUCAACAUAGGUUAAGUCAUGAACAUUUUCAGAAACAUUCAUAACAAGAUAUUUACUAUAAACAGGUUUCAUUAACUAAAUCAAACUAGCUACUAUUUCUCAUAAACCUACAUACAACAUAUAUAUAAACAUAAAAUCAUUCACGAUAAGUUGGCCACUUAAGACUAUGAAACAUAAAAGUGGGAUCAUCACCACACAUCGGAUACACGAAUCUCCAACACAUUAAUGACUCAAAGAGUCCAAAAUAUCCCAUAAGUGAAGCAUCAAGCUAUCACUGUCCAACACACCAACAUAUCCCCGUAAAUGGAGCUUAGCUCAUAUGCCCUUAUUUCUCCAAUCCAUCGAGGGCCUUAAUGCCCCAAAUCACAACACAAAGGGUGAGUACUCACAAAUCCUAUGGCAUGUCAUCUAUAUCCAAUGGUUUCAAAAGAUCACAAGGCCAAAAUAUCCAUUGUUUCACUCAUUUUUACUUACCAUUUUAAGACACACAACCUUAGUUAUUGAUAAAAAAAUAUGCAACAUUAUCACUAUCACAUAGCUUGCUUAUCAUACUGACAAUUGAUGUACUUACAAGUACAAUCACAAUGCUCCAUAAGCCACAAUAUCAUUAGAUCACAUAACACAUACUAAAAUAAUUCACAUAUUCCUUACUGUUUUGUUAUAUCAAUUAUCACAACUCACCACACAUAUUCAUCACAAUUAAAAAAGAAACAAAUGGGAUAGGAAGGCUUAUUUUCAAAACUUAUGAUAGCGGUUUAGCUCUCGUUUAACACUAUGAAUCAUACCUACAAGCAAUGAUUCCAAAACAGUCAUCGUUCAAAUUUUCACUUGAAAAUCGCAAGCUCAAACUAGUUUUUUCUCACCUUUUGCCUUACUCGAAGAGGGCCUCAACAGUUCCAAAGCUUUACAUAUAUAACCACACAAUAUAUACAAGCAAUUAGCAGCCAAAACACAUCUUAAUUCAAACCAAAAUGCAGGUCCAAAACUAGCUUUUCUAAAAACUAGAAUUUUCUACUAGAUUCGCUAAAACUCAAAUAGGGUUUGUCCUAUUUUGAUUACUCUAACUUUUUUCUCAAUUUAGUCACUCUAAAUAAAAUAAUUGUGCGGCUUAGUUACUAACCGCCUCCCGAUGUACCAACACCAGAGGUGUGAAUACUGCUACUAAGGAUAGGAAUUAAGGCGAUGUCCACAAGUAUAUGGGUCAGGUUGUAAUAUAGUUUACAACAAAGUAUGAAAGUAUCUGAGGAUCGUUCCCUAUGGAGGUGAGACUAAACUAAUAUUAAUUUCUACGUUGAUGGGUCUAGUUAGUAAUUAAAUUAUAUUAUAUUACAAUAUAUCCUAAGUUGAUGAGAAAAUAUCUUUUAUAAAAAUAAGAUAAUUAAGAAUGGGAAUAGAGUGCAAAUUCUAUCAAUUCUAAUGUUGGAAGACUAACUCGUUUUAGUGUUCAUAAUUAGCUUCUACUUAGGGUUCUACAUAAGGCCUCUCUGUCUUCCACUAACCUAAUGUGUCGGCAAAAACUACUUAUCUCUCGAUGCCACAAUCCAGACUAAAUGGGGGUAAGGUUUUAACGAAUAGGUAAUACUGAUUUUGGGUUCAUUCCCACCUAUAUAACUUAUUAGAGUCAUCAAGCCUAGGGUUUUAAGUUCUUCCUAUCCUCAACCAGCUGAUUUGCGAAGAAUCUCUAAAUAGAAGUUAAUGAAUCCCACAUCCACUCGUUAAUCUUCCUUACUGGAUUAGUUCCCCAUGGAUUUAACACAUGCAAAGAAAUUGAGAGUAAAAUAUAAACAUUAUAAAAGAAAUCAAGAGUAGAGAUGAGAAAAAUCCUGAUAAUUUAAUAACAGAAGCACGAACUAAUGAAAACUUAAUGAAAAACUAAACUGAAUGCAAAGCUAAAUAAAAACUAUUCAUAAAGUGUUUAGAUCCUUCUAUUUAUAGGCCUAGGGUUGGUCAUCAAUCAUUGACCUAAUUCGGCUGACGUUUUGCAUUGAAGUUUGUUGUGCAAACACCCUUGGUUAAUUAAUUCCUCAUGUCAUGUCGGUGUCGCGACACCCUCUGGCCUGUGUCGAGACACUAAUGGUAGUUUACGAGCUACGGCUUGAUUUUAGGAUUGUGUCGCGACACCCUCUUGCUAUGUUGCAAAAGCUUACGAAAUUGAUGAACUAUAAGGAAAAGCUUGGUACUCCAAUUAAAGAACAUAUACUUUUGCUUAUGAAUCUUUGCAUAAGUGGAGGACAAUGGACUGGUUUGGAUCAUAACACUUAGACAGAGAUGGUGCUCAAAUAUCUAAUAUUACUAUUUUUAUUAUAUUAUUAAAAAUUCCACGUGUCAACUACUAAUUUGCUAAAGGGUAUUUUUUUUAACAGUGAUAAUGGUAUGGGCCCAUAAUGGUUACAAAAUUAUAAUUUAAGUACUGGAUUUGACAAAAAAAAUGUAUCUAACCAAAAGAAGUGCUAUAGUUUGAGGGUUGUGCAUUGAACUAAGCCUUUUUUAUAGUAGUGAUAUAAAUUUUUUUUUUGUACAACGAAUAUUUUCCCUAGCCUAGUCCUAGGAAAGGUGAACAACUAGAUCAAUAGGUCACAAUUUAAAGUUUAGUGAUAUAAUUAUCUUUAAUUGCAUUUGGUAUCAUAUACUCAUAUUGAUUUUUAUGACAUUUCAAGUUAACUUGUGACAUGAACUAAGCAAAAAGCUUUAAUAUAGUAUAAAUAUUAAAUAAUUGCAUAUUGGGACACUCGUUCUAUUUAGAUAUUUGAUGUCUACGAAGCGUUACCGUGGCUUUGUGUUCAGAGGUUAGAUAAUAUUGUGAUUGAAUUUGAUUGUCAAAGUGUGAUCAAUGCUUUAAAUCAUCCAAGUAUUGAUGUGUUAAAGGUCGCAGCAUCCAUAGCUAACGGAGCAAUUAGAAGCAAAAAAAAAAAAGAAAAAAGAAAACAAAAGGCUACUUUGAUACCAUAUUAGAAAGCACUUGUGGCACUGUUUUCAAUGAUGGAUGUCUGGAUUAUGAAAAAACUCAAAUCUCAAAUUAAUAAUUUAUUAACUAUUGAAGUUGACGAUUAAACCCCAUCAGGAGCGAAGCCAACAAUUCAUUACGGGAAGCCAAAAUAAAAUUUUAAAAAUUUGAGGGAUUAAAAUUAAAAAAAUUGUUAAAAGAAACUUAAAUUAAAUAAUUCAUAACUAAAAGACACUGAAAGAGAUAUUAUGCCGGUAAAGGGUGACCGUCUACCCUGUAAUUACGCCAUGAACAUCAGCAAAAAUGUCUUCGGUUGACUAACACCGUUGUUUGUUUUAUUUAUUUUUAAAUAAUUAGAGAUUUUAGCUUAGUUGGUGUAAGCAGCAAUUAUUUGUCCAUUUAAUAUUAUAUUUUGGUGUGAUUAACACGGAUCAUUUUUUAAUAUGAACGCAAAUGUGUUACUAUUAUUAUUUGUGGAGGUCAUUAAUUUAUCAAGACAAAACGGCGAGGACGGUUGCCUUGUCUCAAUCCGCGACUUAGUACGUAAGUGCUUACCUUUGUAUCAUAUUAUUUAAUAUAUCCUACAUAAGUAAUCUAAUCUAGAUACUGAAAAUCUAAUAAUCUUUGUUAAUUAUAUUAUGGUAAAUUCUGCAUCAAUAUUCACAUUCUUUUGCCUUGUUAAUUUUAAAUUUCUUGAAUGACAGAAUUUUUAUUUGUGGAGUUCAUUAAUAAAUAUUUUUAUAUAAUUGAUGAAUAUUUUAUAUUUGAAAUUUAUUCAAUAUCAUUUAUUUCAUAUUUGUAAAUAUUUAUUUGUAUUAAAUUCUUUUUUUAAAAUAUCGAUAAAUUUGAAAUCAUAUAUCGAAAUAGAUCGGUAUUGUUAUGUACCAAUUCUAGUAGAAAAAUAGUGUGCCCACCGGUGUUGUAAGCUCCCCGACCUGACCUAGAUGCUAGACCGAAUCUAGAAGACAACAUCAGCCAUCGAGAUAGCCUACCAGGGUUAUCGAAGUUUAGAAAACAACCAUUUUAAAACCUUCGUUUAAUUUAGUAGAAAAAUUCGAUUACAAACCGUUUUAUUAUUCCUCAAAAUCUUAAUUUUAAUUUACUAGCAGAAGAAAUGAUAUCGAUUGGUUUUAAGGAAAACUGGGGGUUCAUGCAUACAAAUUAAUAAUUAUAGCAUAAUAUCUUAAAAUUUUAAAUAAAAUGUCAUGCAAAAUAAAUUUUCAAAUCUAAAACCUAGGUUCCAUGCCAUAGUUUGAAAUAAUGUAGUACAAACUAUAAUAAUAGCAUACCCCAAAUUAUAAGUCUUAAUAAAUUGAAAUUUUGAAACUGAGCCGAGACACUUCGGUUGCCACUUCUGCGUUCCUAACCUGGUGGGUUAUCUUUAAGGAUGAAAAUUUAAGGGGAGAGUGAGCUAUAACGCUUAGUGUGAGUUCAAUCACAAGAAAAUUAGUGCAAUAGUUAGUAAGAUGCAUAAGAUAAUAUUGCAUAAAAUAUUCACAAUUAGACAACAAUUCAAAGUAUUAAUUUUUCAAAGCAACCACCAUUAAUAUAUCGGAACUCACAAUAGUAGUUUUCAAAAUAACCAAAUUUUCAUAUUUACCCACAAUGAACAUAUAUGGACACAUAUAUAUAAUAAUAGAUUUUCAAAAUUUGUAUGUGUAUAAGCCCACAUUUGCCGGAGGCCCAAAAAAACCCUAACAGACCCAAACUAAACCAGACUUGGCCAAGUCUAAACCCGAGCCCAGUACCCAAAACACAAACCCUAGCCCAAUUAUAGACCUAACCCACUAGACUAAAUGAGCCCAACUCAGUUUGACCCAAAACCAAAGUCAGCCUAGGGUUUCAAUUUCUGAAACCCUAAGCGCCGCAUCUAGGGUCUUUAGACCCUUGGUCUUCUGGCGCCGCAUGCAGCAGUCACCCGUACCUGCCACCGCCGGACGUCCCAUCACCCCACUUGUGCCCAUCAGCCACCUGCAAAAAAGACAACAAGCAGAGACAAGACAACAACAAUAGCAGUAGCAAUCGGCUAUAAAAGCCAAGGAAAAAUGUAACCAUUUCUUCUUCCAACUUUUGUAAAAAAAAAAAAAAGAAAAAGAAAAACACAUAUUAGCAGAAAGAACUACAAAGCAAGAGAAAAAAACAUUCAAAGUGAUUUUUUUUCUUUUCGGUUUUAUAGAUUUUUCCUCUUUUUUCUUUCUUUCAUUUUUUACUUAUACGUAUAAACAAAAGUAAAUAAAAAGGAACUUACCGGACGGUCGUGGCCUCACCGUUGGAGGGCUGCUCCUCCGUCGUUCGGCUUGGGCCUAAAGGGGGCUGGAAAGUUUUCUUUUUCUUAUUUUUAUGGGUUGAGAGAGCUUGGCUCUCAAGGGCACCAUUUGGUGAGGUAUGAAAGGCCAUUUCACGACGCCGGCCACCGCGUACGGUGGCCCUACGGCGGUGGCCACGGCCGGCAACCAUGGCCGAAAUUGGGGAUUUUAGAGAGAGCUCCAAAGCUCUCUGAAUUUUUUUUUUAAAAAAGGAUGAAUCUUUUUUUAGGGUUUUUUAACAUUUAUAUCAAAUGAAAAACGACGUCGUUUCACCUGGGGGGUCUCGGCGCCAAAAUGGUGCCGUUUUGCGCGACCCGCGCGUGACCCGACCCAUUACCAGGAGGAUCCGCAUGUUUUGUGACUAGGGUACAAUUAGUACCCUAGUCCUUCCGCUUUGUUAAUUUUUUAAAUAAGGUUUUAUAUUUUUAAAUUUUACCCCAUAAUUUUCUGCGAUUUCAGUUAGGUCUCUAUUCAAACGACGCCGUUUUAAAGGAGAGGAGAAAAUUGCCCUUCCAGCCCCUCUAUGUUAUGCACGCGUUCAAAAGAAUCCUUUCCCUUUAUUUGUUUGCGGAUUUGCCCCCGAAAUUCUGUUUUAAAUUAAAAUUAGUCCUUUUUAUUAUUUUUGCUAUUAAUUGAUUAAUUUUAACAAUAUUAUUAUUUUUACUAUUAUUAUUAUUUUUAAAUGUUAUUACUAUUAUUGUAUUUAUUGUUAUUACUUAUCUCAUUAUUAUUAUAAUUAUUUAUUCAUUCAUACCAUUUUUAUUUCAAAUCUAGUUAUAUAUGCAUACAUUUUCAUAAUAUAUGUGUACACGUAUUAUUUUUUUAAAAAAAGAAAAACUUAUAUAUACAUACAUGCUCAUAUAUAUAUAUAUUGUGUAUUUUACGUACAUAUCUAUACAUAUAUAUCUAUAUACAUAUUUUUUAUUUUCAUGAAUAUAUACAUACAUAUAUAUUUUUUAUAUUCCAUGAUUUUUUAUAUAUAUAUUUGCACAUCUAUAUAUAUCUAUAUACGCAUGCUUAUUUUUAUAAAUACACGUAUAUAAAAACAUACUUUUGUAUACCUUUUAUAAUAUAUAUAUACGCAUAUAUGUAUGCAUUUUCUUAUUUACAUUUUUAUAUAUAAUAAUUUUAAAAUGUAUACAUAUGUAUGUAACUUUUUACAUUUACAUCAUCUUAUUGAUUUUCUUUGUUUAUUUCUUUAUUUGUAUUCACAUUAUUUAGAGAAUGAAUGCUUUAAUUUUAUUGUUUGUAUGUUUGCCAUGGUGUACUAUAUUAGUUUGUCUUUUUAUUUAUUUUAUUUUAUAGCCCUUGCUUGUAUUAUUUUAUUUACAUUAUCAUCAUUGUUUUUACGUUACAUCUAUUUUUCAUUCGGACUCGUCAAAAGGGAAAAUUUUCAAAAUUAAAAGCAAUACUCGGCAUUUGGGAUUUUCGAGAGAAUUGAGCCCUAAAAUAUUGGGUUCCGAUUUACUUCGUUGAAUCUAAAUAAUCGAGAGUGCUCUUUAAAAUAAAAAAGGUAAAUAAAAGCUCAUUAUCGGGAAUUCAAUAUGUUGUGUCCUAAUGCAUUAGAUAUGACGUGUUGUUCUCUUGAGACGAGGAUUUUAAAAAAAUAAUAAUAAAAUAAAUAAAGGCAAUAUUCAAUGUUUAGUAUUUUGGGAAAUUGUGCCCUAACGUAUUGGGUUGCAAUUUUUCUACGACUUAAACAAUCGAAUAUCCUUUUAAAUUUUAUUGUGCGAGCUCUUAGAUAAGCUCAUUUCUGAAGAGGCGAAAUAUCGUGCCCUAACUCAUUGGGUGUGACAUUUUCUCUUUCCGAAAUAAGAGGGUCUUAACGAGUAAUUUGAUUUUUAUAAGUUUUAAAACAAAGGAUCGUAUUUUAAAUCUCUUCAAAGAUUUCAAUUUUUGAUACUAAGACAUUAAUUAAUCAAUUAGGUACCAAUUUCGAGCGUUACGAGGAUGGUAAUCCUUCCUCGUACGUAACCGACUCUCAAACCCGUUUUUCUAAAUUUCGUAGACCAAAAGUAUUAUUUUAAUAAAUCCAAACCAUUUAUUAAAAACAAUCAUUUUAUGAGGCGACCUGGUCACACCUCAUCAAAAAAAAUUGGUGGCGACUCUCAUUUUCGUUUUCAUUUUCAAAAACCAAGUCGACCCCGUUUUCACAAAAAAAAUGGUGUCAACAGUAUGCACAUGAGUUUAAAAUGCCAUACAGUUUUGGUUUUUAACAAAAUAGAUCCUACCCCACCACUACACACUAUAAUAGGAGUUAACCAGAACUCCCUUCUCCAACAAACGGGAUAUGGAUAAACCACUAUUGGUUCACAGAUAAUAACUUCCAUUUGACUGUGGAUACACAGCAAGUACCCAUAGUUGGAAUAUGCCUUUAGUUGUGGGUUCAUAGCAAAAAGUCCUCUAGAUGAAACCUGCUUUUUGGCUAUAGUUUAUACAGCAUAAACCUGCAGCUAAAAUCUGCCUUUGGCAAUGGAUACACAGCAAUACCCGUAGAUGGAAUUUGCCUUUGGUUGUGGAUGCACACAAAACAGAUAAAUGCAGAUAAACUACCAAACUUCUUCCGAUCACAUCGUCUCAUCCCAUGCAAUGCAAUGUGGCAUAUUUAAUAUAGAUCAAGUAUGAUAGCAAUUAAUGUACUAAUACAUGACAAAUCAGUAGCAAAAUCAUGCUUUUCAUGUAUUCAGAUUAAUAGUAAAAUAGGUCAUGCCAUUCAUACGAUCACAAGUAUAGAUACAAUAUUAACAUAUACUGUUCAUAAUUUAUGCAAAUAUACAUAUACAAAUAAACACUGCAUUAAUUCGAUCGAUCAUGGUUUCUAACAUAUUUCAUAUCCUCAGGGAUCCAAUUGCAUAAUUUCAAACGCUAAAAAUGGUUCAGAACUUAUUCAGGGAUUCAUCUGAUCAAAACAUAGAAUUCUGGGUUAAAACGGUAAAAUCUUAGUUACAAAGUACACAUAGCUGUAUUAUCGGAUCAUGUGGGAAGCCUUGGGCCGUGUGGAUGGAAUGCAUAGUCGUGUGGCUAAGCCGUGCGGGUCAUGCAAAAUUAAGCUUCAGGGGUGACACGGUUCUGUGGGAGGCCAUGUAGGGGGUCCUAGGCCAUGUGAAAUUUGAACAUCCCAGGGUUUCAAAGUGGCAAGGCCGCGCAUGGGGGACGUGUGGUCCACGCGCCCCUGUGGUUGGCCAUGUAGCCCUAUUUUAGGCUUAGUUUUACCCCGAGACACUUGUAAAAAAAAUUAACCAUUUCUUCUUCCAACUUUUGUAAAAAAAAAAGAAAAAACACAUAUUAGCGGAAAGAAAUAAGAAGCAAGAAAAAAAUUCAAUGUGAUUUUUUUCUUUUCGGUUUUAUAGAUUUUUCCUCUUUUUUCUUUCUUUCAUUUUUUACUUAUAUGUAUAAACAAAAGUAAAUAAAAAGGAAAUUACCGAACGGUCGUGGCCUCACCGUUGGAGGGCUGCUCCUUCAUCGUUCGGCUUGGGCCUACAGGGGGGCUGGAAAGUUUUCUUUUUCUUAUUUUUAUGGGUUGAGAGCUUGGCUCUCAAGGACACCAUGUGGUGAGGUGUGAAAGGCUAUUCCACGGCGCCGGCCACCGCGUACGGUGGCAUUACGGCGGCGGCCACGGCCGGCAACCAUGGCCAGAUUUGGGGAUUUGAGAGAGAGCUCCGAAGCUCUCUGAAUUUUGUUUUUAAAAAAAGGUUGAAUCUUGUUUUAGGGUUUUUUAACAUUUAUAUCAAAUGAAAAACAACGUCGUUUCACCUGGGGGGUCUCAGCGCCAAAACGGUGCCAUUUUGUGUGACCCGCGCGUGACCCGACCCAUUACCAGGAGGAUCCACAUGUUUUGUGACUAGGGUACAAUUAGUACCCUAGUCCUUCCGCUUUGUUAAUUUUUUAAAUAAGGUUUUAUAUUUUUAAAUUUUACCCCAUAAUUUUCUGCGAUUUCAGUUAGGUCCCUAUUCGAACGACGCCAUUUUAAAGGAGAGGGGAAAUUUGCCCUUCCAGCCCCUCUAUGUUAUGCACGCGUUCAAAAGAAUCCUUUCCCUUUAUUUGUUUGAGGAUUUGCCCCCAAAAUUCUGUUUUAAAUUCAAAUUAGUCCUUUUAUUAUUUUUGCUAUUAAUUGAUUAAUUUUAACAAUAUCAUUAUUUUUACUAUUAUUAUUAUUAUUUUUAAAUGUUAUUACUAUUAUUGUAUUUAUUGUUAUUACUUAUCUCAUUAUUAUUAUAAUUAUUUAUUCAUUCAUACCAUUUUUAUUUCAAAUCUAGUUAUAUAUACAUACAUUUUCAUAAUAUAUGUGUAAACUUAUUAUUUUUUUAAAAAAAGAAAAACUUAUAUAUACAUACAUGCUCAUAUAUAUAUAUUGUAUAUUUUACAUACAUAUCUAUACAUAUAUAUCUAUAUACAUAUAUACCACCAUUAAUAUACCGGAACUCACAAUAGUAGUUUUCAAAAUAACCAAAUUUUCAUAUUUACCCACAAUGAACAUAUAUAGACAUAUAUAUAUUAAAAGAUUUUCCAGAUUUGUAUGCACAUGAGUUUAAAAUGCCAUACAGUUUUGGUUUUUAACAAAAUAGAUCUUACCCCACCACAACACACUAUAAUGGGAGUUAACCAGAACUCCCUUCUCCAACACAACGGGAUAUGGAUAAACCACUAUUGGUUCGCAAAUAAUAACUUCCAUUUGACUAUGGAUACACAACAAGUCCCCGUAGUUGUAAUCUGCCUUUAGUUGUGGGCUUACAACAAAAAGUCCUGUAGAUGAAACUUGCUUUUUGGCUAUAGUUUAUACAGCAUAAACCUGCAGCUAGAAUCUGCCUUUGGCAAUGGAUACACAGCAAUACCCGCAGAUGGAAUUUGCCUUUGGUUGUGGAUGCACACAAAACAGAUAAAUGCAGAUAAACUGCCAAACUUCUUCCGAUCACAUCGUCUUAUCCCAUGCAAUACAAUGCAGUAUAUUUAAUAGAGAUCAAGCAUGAUAGCAAUUAAUAUACUAAUACAUGACAAAUCAGUACCAAAAUCAUGUUUUUCAUGUAUUCGGAUUAAUAGUAACAUAGGUCAUGUCAUUCAUAUGAUCACAAGUAUAGAUACAAUAUUAACAUAUACUAUUCAUAAUUUAUGCAAAUAUACAUAUACAAAUAAACACCGCAUUAAUUCGGUCGAUCAUGGUUUCUAACAUAUUUCAUAUCCUCAGGGAUCCAAUUGCAUAAUUUCAAACACUAAAAAUAGUUCAAAACUUAUUUAGGUAUUCAUCUGAUAAAAACAUAGAAUUCUAGGUCAAAACGGUAAAAUCUUAGUUACAGCGUACACAUAGCUGUGUUAUCGGAUCAUGUGGGAAGCCUUGGGUAGUGUGGAUGGAAUACACAGUCGUGUGGCUAGGCCAUACGGGUCAUGCAAAAUUAAGUUUCGGGGGUGACACGGUUCUGUGGGAGGCCGUGUAGGGGGUCCUAGGCCAUGUGAAAUUUGAACAUCCUAGGGUUUCAAGGUGGCAUGGCCGCGUAUGGGGGACGAGUGGUCCACGCACCCUUAUGGUUGGCCAUGUGGCCCUAUUUUACGCUUAGAAUUCUCUAAUACACUUGUAAAAGAACACACACCUGUUACCGUGUCUCGAGCGACAUCCCUCUCUAUCAAAUCUGGUCUUGGAUACCUAAAUCGGGUCCUUUAAACAACAUUAAUUAAGAAUUAACAAAUGUUAUCAAGAUCUAUCAAGAUUGUCAUGAAUUUCAGAAAGAAAUCAUUAAAAAGAUUGAUAAUGGAUGAAAAAUUAGUUUCAAGAUAAUGAUAUUACGAAUCUUUGAAGUUCCAUUUAUAGAUAAGGCGCUUACCAAUCAUUAGCAAGAUUAGAGGUGAAAUUGAUAGCGUUACGCUAAACUGAUAGAAAGGUUAGGUUGAUCGAAGAUUGUUUUCAGUAUAUUAUUGAAUUAGGUGCUGACCGAAAUGCCCCAAAUCAUUCGUAAAGCCGAAGAACGAUUGUACGUACAGUUCGCAUCGCUACAGUGUAAGGAAUCUAACUAGUUUGGAUUCAUAAAAUAGCUAUAAUUCCAAUGAUUGGUUUGAACGCAUAAGUGGGUGUUUUGGGGAUGGUUUAAUGGUAAAUUGAUUGAAUUUAUACUGAAUUUCAGUUUAGGUUCGUUUAAGGAAUUAUUAAAGAAAAUUGAAAGAUUCGCUAGUGUGCUGCGAGAAAGCGAAAAAUAAGGUGUGGGUCCUAAACUCAUAAAUUUUUUUGAAAAUGUUAAAUAUCAAGUUAUAUUUGAUAAAUAAGGUGUGCUACCAAAUUGUUGAUUUUGUGAGUAGCCGAACCAGGUAUGUUCUGAGCCUUAAAAGAUUAACAUGUUGGCAAAAUUGCUAGUUUGAUAGUAUGAAUGUUUGGUUGAGUUUGUAAUUGCAUAUUUGAGUUAUGAGAUAUGAGAAUGUUUGACUGAAUGAUAUAAUGUGUUGAGAUUUUAAGCUUAUUUAUGAUUUAAACGCAUGAGAUAUUUGUUAUAUUGUGUACUAAAAUGGGUGGUAUUCAUGCAUAAUGAAAAUUCGUAAAGUAUGUGAAAUAGAACGAUAUUGAUUGAUACCAACGCAAUGGUAAUUUGAAUGAUUAGAACACAGUUUCCUUUUACUGAAAGUAUGUGAUUAUUGAGGACGUGUUGAGCAUAUCAAAUGAAUGUGAAAAGUAUUGAGAUAUGAUUGCGUAUAAGAUUGUGUGACAUUGCAUAUGCAUUAGGUUGGGAUUUUGCUGUUGACGGAGGAGUUCCGUGGAGUACCGCCGACAUUUUAAGUCCGAAUUAUUCGUAGUCAGUCCAUUGCACCUAGAGUACCGAGGGGAAUGACAAUUUAUCGCAUUUUUACUGGCAACUUCUCUACAUUUUUACUGGAAGAAUUUUCUGUAUAUUGUUAUUGGUAGUUUUAACCAAAAUGUUUUGGAGUUCGGAUGACGGGUUAUGGAGAACUCGUGGUGUGUAGCUGAUGGUAUGGAUAGGAUCCUUUUUGCAUUGUAUCAUGUGCACAACAUAUUCGAGUGUUAUUGAUUUAUACUACGUAUUAUAUUUUGUUGUAUUGAAUGGUAUCGUAAUUAAUGAUUGUUACUCAAAUGAAUGAUGACCUAUGCUCAUACACCGUUUGACAUCAAUUUGAUAAUGGCUAUGUAAUGAUAUGAAAUUCCUAUGAUGGUUUUGUUUUCUUCUCUUAAAGCUAACCUAUUUCACUCUAUUUGAUAUUUAUGUUUGUUUAAAUAAUUGUUCGACUCACUCUAAGCUUUUCAUAAGCUCACCCCCAAUAUAGCCUAGCCAUUUCAGUGGCUAAUAUAGCUUAGCCAUUUCGGUGGCUAAUGUAGCCUUCUCAAUCUAGCCAUCAUGUCUAGGCCAUGUUUGGGAAUAAUCCAUUUCAAUUUAGUUUCUAAACAUCAUGCAUCUAAAACAUAGACAAAUAAUUAUCCAACAACUAAAUUCAACAGUUCAAAAAACGUGUCCGAGCUAGAAGUACCAUGCCAUCAUCGAUGUUUAUAAACCUAAGCAUAACCAUAACUAUUAAACCUUAUUAACAAAAGCAAUAACCAACAAAAUGUCUAGAAAUUAACAUGUCAAUAACCAAGACUACCAUAUUUUCCUUUCCCCAAAACGUAAUUAAAUAAAGAACACCUACAAAAUAGCACAAAACUGGCUCGGAUCACCUCUUGAAAAUCACACCAUUCACGCUGGCACACAACUAAUCUGCAAAGGGUAAAGAAGGGAGUGGGUGAGAUUAACAAACUCAAUGAAUGACUAGAAUAACCACAUCGCACACAUAUCAUCAUGCAUCCUCAAGACAACCAUAUAUAAGCAAAAUUGCAAUAGUCCUAUAUCUAGUGUAGUAGAAUACCUAUCCAUGCAUUAUCUACUGGUUCAUCUACACAAUAUUUACAUACUCAUACAACAUAUAUCAUGUAACGCACAUAUUUAGUCAAGCGUAUAUCACAAUUCACACAAGUCACAUAUAACGAAAAGUUGGCAAUAUAGCACAUACUCCGUUAAGCAUAAAACAUGUUCCAUACAAUUACAUAUAAUAUGAUAGAUUGACACUUGAGUUAUGAAAUAUAUAAUGAGCUCUAUCAUCAUAGAUUGGAUACACGGAUCUCCGAUCACACCAAAUGACUCGUAGAGUCAGACAUGUUCCAAAAGUGAAGCAUAUAACUAACACUCUCCUUAUUUCGAGACCAUAAUUUUGAUGAGUGAUUUAUUUAUUUUAAUAUUUAUUUAAUAUCUAUGAGAUUAUAUUAAGGUCAUAUUAAAAUUCCGUUAAGAAAUUUUGUUGUUUAAGUAGUUAAUUAAGUAAAAAGGACUAAAUCGUGAAAGUUGUAAAAAUUUAUUUCUAUUAGUUAAAAGGGUCAAAUGGCUACGAAAUUUUAAAAUAAUAAACUAAGAUAGUAAUUAUAUCAUUUAAUGAGUUAGUGUAUGCACAUGGACAAGGUUUUAUUGAAAUUUUGUAUUAUUGUUAGGGGUAAAAUGGUAAAUUGGUAAAUAAACUUAAAAUAAACUAAGAAAAAUAUAUUAUCUUCCCCAUUUCUUUUUUGCUUUUUCUAAAUACACCAUUAAAGGGGGGAGAGCUUCGGUUUUGAAUUCUUCAUUUCAUGGUAUGAUUUUGUACCCCGUUUUCAUUCCUUUUUAUGUUUUUGAGUUCAUUUUAGCUCAAUCUAGCUAUCCCGGGGAUUAACUUACAAAAUUUUUAAAGGUUGAAGGACUUUCCAUGGAUGUAUUUGAAUAGGUUUUGAAGUUAUUUGAUAGAUUAUUCAUUUUGGUUGUGAAAUAAACAUGUUUUCUUAAGUGAUUUUUGGUGAAAUUGUAAUUAGGGAUUAAAUUGUUAAAAGUGUAAAUCUAUGGGUUUUAUUGUGAAAUGUUGGUAAUAAUGGGUUAUUUCAAGGUCCCUUGUAACAUUGGUUAAGUUGUAUUUAGACAAAAAUGAGUUAUAUUUAAGUUAUAAGCUUAAGGACUAAAUUGAGAAAAGUCAAAGUAUUAAGGGGUAUUUUGUAGAAAUAUGAACUAUGGAUUAAAUUGAAUACUAGAAGUACUUAAUUGAAUAAAAAUAUUUAUUUAUAUCAAGAUAAACCACAAUUGGACGUAAAUCAAGGAAAAGCUAAAGAUUCGGAUUAGUUCGACUCUACUACUACGACCCUAGUUAUCGAGGUAAGUUCGUAUAAACUAUAAUCAUUUUAAUAUUAGCUAAAUUGAUUAUAUGCUAUGUUUUUUAAUAUAAAUGAAUUUGAAUAUAAGUGUAUCAAUGCUAUGAUGAAUUGACGGAUAACGAGUCUCGUUUGAACCUUAAGAAUUCUUAGGUUACAAAUGACAUGUCAUUAGGGAUUUGAUGUUUCGAGUGCUACUCUUGAAUGUCCUACCGAUGAAUAAGGUCUUGCAUUUGUUGUAGAUUCUUCAUAGCUCAUGUGAGUAGCAUCGUGUAGCUUACAUUCUGACCCAUAACUCGUGUGAGCAGGCCAAUUUCACGGCUUGUAUGAGCAUUGAUGUAAGGGAAAGGUUAUGGUUAUGGUUAUAUGGAAAGACACACUAUGUGUGAGCAUUCUUGGGUAUCCGAUGUAAUUCUAUAUGGUCAACAGGUUAAAAAAAGGAAAUAAAAUGGUAAGUAUGCAAAUGGAAUGAAUCAUGAUCUUAUGAAAAGGUUGAUGAAUUAAAUGAUGUAUUUGUAUAUCGAAAUCUGGUUAUCUUAUGGUUGAAUUAAUUUGUAUCAUGGAUAAGUGCACUAACUUGUAAGUUUGAUGAUGUUGUAUAGGCUUAUACUAAGCUUAUGGCAUUGGUAAUGAUUUAUGCUUAAUCUAUGAAUUGUAUUAAUGAAAUGGUAAGUUAUGUUUAAGUUUAUACAAUCUUACUGAGCACUCAUUGCUUACGUAGUUAUUUUCCUUUGUUUUAUAGAUAAUCGGAAGCUCAAUUGAUUGGAAGCUCGUCGGAGACCUAUCACACUAUCCAACAACCAUUUCGAUAGUUUUUGAGUAUUUUGGCCAAGGAUAAAAAUGGCAUGUAUAGAAUCUUUUGUGAUGGUAGUUUGUGAUUGCAUUAAUAAUGAUUUGGUUUGUUUAUGCUUUGAAGUUUAUGUUUGGUUUGGUGAACCUUAACACCUCACUGAGUUAUGUCAUUUUGGUUACUUUUAAGUGCUUGUAUAUGAGGUCUUUUUGGUAUGUUUGUGAUGGCUUGUAAAUGGUCAUUGUGGUAUCAUGAGGUAUUGAACUAGGUUUUUAUGCUUGAAAUAUGACAAUGUUGACUUAUUUUGGUAAAUGAUGUUUUGGUAUAAUUGUGGUGCCUUUGAAUGACAUAUUCGUUAGAUGAAUUAAGGUGUUUGAAAUGGCAUGUUUAUAUGUGUUUUAACGAUGUUUAAAUCCCUUGAUUGAGUGUCCAAUUGGUAUGAAUGGUUAGGUAUGAAUUGGAUUUGAAAUGGUUUGAUUUUAGGUUAAUUUUGAAAAUCUUAGUGUUUCAAUUUAGUGAGUUACACGGCCUGGCACACGACUGUGUGUGGCAACUCAGAGAGUUACACGGCUUGCGACACGGCCGUGUAACCCUACUUAGUGAGUUACAUGGGUGAGGACACGAGAUGGGACACGGCCGUGUGUCCCUUUGUUCGAUUGUUACACGACCUGUCACACGACCGAUUGACCCUCAUGUUUUCCAAUUGUUUCAACUUUUUCUUAAAAAUUCUAGUUUGUUUCGAUUUAGUACCGAAUUACUUUUAAGCUAUUUUUAGUGCCUCAAAGGAUCGAUUUAGGGACAAAAUGUAUAUCAUUGAUUGGUUUAUAAUAAGUUUAAUUUAUUUAAUGUUAUGAUGAUAAAUGUUUUUUGAUUGAUUGGCAAUGCUCUGUAAUGCUAAUCUGGCGACGGAGACGAGUUAGGGGUGUUACACCAAUGGUUUCAAAAUCACAAGGCCAAAAUAUCCAAAAUCAAACACAUAACACUUACCGAUUAUUCGUGCACUAUCACUGCAUGUUAGCAUCUUUUAGAAAAUACCAUCACUUUCAUAUAACAUGUAUAUCAUGUAUACAUUUGCACUUUCCACAACCUAUACCAUAUCCACAUAUCACAUACUUGCGCUUCUCAACACCAUGCACAAUUUCAUAAUCAUAUAAGCACAAAUCCACAAAAAAAAUAUACAUACAAGAAAACUUACGCUCAGAAAUUAGAAUAGGGGUUUAGGCUACUACUAAAUUCUCCAAUAACACUUGACUCGUGUUUGCGAGCAGUGAUUCCGAACACUCACCCCUAUGGUUUCACCGAGAAGUCAAAAGCUCAACUAGCUCUUACUUUAACUUGUAGAAGGCUCUAAUGAAUCUGAGGCUUAACACACAAUAACCAUACAAAAUUCACAACCAGAUUGUAGCCAUGGACUCACUUAAACCAACUAAAACAUCAGCCUAUUCUAAGUUCUCAUGUAACCAAAAUUUAACAUAAAAAAACUUAGAAUGCUCAUAACUCGCUCUACACUUAACCUUUUUGCCUAAAAUGAAUUAUGUUCAUCUAAUUAGUCAUCUACGCCAAAUCCUUAACUCUUAAACCACUAAAAACUACCCAAUUCAUGGUAUCAUAACUUUUCGACAUCUUUUUGGCAAUUUUCACAAAAUUCAUUAAAACGUAAGAAAUCAUCAACGAAAUUUCAUGGUGGGUUUAAAAGCCUUCUAAUCAUGAUAAAAUGAGUUGAAAAAUUCUUCGAAACCACAUUUUUACUCAAAACUAAAAACUCCACCAUUAAUGUCCCAAAUUUUAGGUUUUAUUAAAAAUUUGAAGUUUAAUGGCUAAUACUUCAAUUUUAAGGACUAGAUAUCAUGAAAAACUCAUAAGAAUUCGAAACAUUUUCUUUGAUGGAUGAAAAUCAAACUUUUGACGCAAACCUAAUAAAACCCACGUUUGGAGAAGAUGAUGAAAUGUAUAGCGUUUUGGGUGUUUUUUAAGUGAUUUUAUGCGUGUUUAAGGCUUGGGUGUUGAGGGAAAUCAAAAGCUUAUAGUUUGGAAAUCAAAAUCGAGCGGUUUAGUGUUGGAAGAGCAAGGGACGACAACAAGGGAGAGGUGAAGAAGAAACUAACAUGAUUUUACUAUUGGGGCAGGAAAUAGGCUGAAAUUUUAAAAUUUAGGCUAAUUGCCUCAUAAAAACUCCCAGCUUUGCCCUUUUUUCAAAUCACUCCCUUGGCCCAAAUUGAAAGACUUUUAAAACUUAUUUUCAAAAAUUUAUUUAGCAGCUAAGAUGCCAUAGUUGAAUAUAAUUCUGAUUUACCACGCUAUGAAAUUUCGAGCACUCUAAGGCUAAAUUCCCUAAAACACCCCUAAAACUUCUAGGCCAUAUUUUGGGGUGUUAUAAUUUCAACAUAGGUUAGAUCAUGAACAUUUUCAAAAACAUUCAUAACAAGAUAUUUACUAUAACCGGGUUUCAUUAACUAAAUCAAACUAGCUACUAUUUCUCAUAAACCUACAUACAACAUAUAUAUAAACAUAAAAUCAUUCACGAUAAGUUGGCCAUUUAAGACUAUGAAACAUAAAAGUGGGCUCUAUCACCACACACCGAAUACUUGAAUCUCCAACAAAUUAACGACUCAAAGAGUCCAAAAUAUCCCAUAAGUGAAGCAUCAAGCUAUCACUCUCCAACACACCAACAUAUCCCAGUAAAUGGAGCUUAGCUCAUAUGCCCUUAUUUCUCUAAUCCAUCCUGGGCCUCAAUGCCCCAAAUCACAACACAAGGUGAGCUGUAACACCCUUUACCCGUAUUCAAUGCCGAAAUAGGGUAUUAUUCAUUACCAGAACACAUACACUUGUAAACGUAUUUAACCGAGUCAUAAAAUUUCAUCUAAAUUAAAACUUUCAAAAUUACUAACAUGCUUUUAUAACUCUUCACAAUAUAUCCUCAAAAUAUUUUAUUCAUAAUAAAUAGGGCCUAUGAGACCCGAUACACACUCAUGCAAUUCAAUGCUUGAUUUCCAUUUCAUUCAAUUUGCAAUUUCUCAUGCUCAUAAUUUAAAUCAAUUUUUUUCAAUCCAAUAUAUAUUUCAAUUAGGUACUUACCAUUUUAAUGCAUAACUUGUAAAUUUAAAGUGGCAUAAUUCAGCCACCAAUUGGCCAAGGCCUAAGCGUGUACACCACACAUGUUAGCCAAAUAAACAUAUAGCGUAAGCAUUAUAAGUAUGGCCGAGUUCAACAUUUAUUCAUGUAUCAAACUUACAAACGUGAGUUAAUCCAUAACCCAUUCAUGUCCUUACUUCAUACCAAAUCAUAUACCAAAUAUACCACACUCACAUACUGUGAAACUUUAUUUUCCCAUACGAGCUUAAACCAUGACCAAUAAUACACAAAUAUAAGCAUCACUUCUAUUUCAUCGUCUAUCGAUUAUAAUCGAGCAUAUGACUAAUUAUGCACAAAUCAUUCGUAUAUUUUAUUUUCCUCCUCCUCCUCUCCAUUCCACAUCCUUAAUGUGUAUAACACACUUAAACAACAUUAACUAUAAUUUCACUAUUCACUAACAUGUAUAUUCAAAGUUGCCUAUUCGAGUCAGAGUCACUAAAUUAUUUUUACCCAGAGCUACAGAACUCCAAAUUAAGAUCCAAAAAUUUUUCCCAAAACUAUAUACACAUAUCUUCUUGCCAUAAAAUUUUCAGAAUUUUUGGUUUAGCAAAAUAGUACAUUUUAUUCUUUAAAGUUCUCCUAUUUCACUGUUUGACCGUUCUGACCUCUCUUCACUAAAAAUUAAUUAUCUCACCGUACAGAAUUUGGAUAUUGUUUCCGUUUGUUUCUCUUGAAAAUAGAUUCACUGAUAAUUCUAAACAUAUAAACUUUAUCCCAUAAUUAUUUUUUUUACAAUUUUUUACAAUUUUCCAAAGUUAGAAUAGGGGAUUCCAAACUUGUUCUGACUCUGUCUAAUUAAACUUCAAAUAUCUCAAAAUAUAUAACUCUUUUGCUUACUCUGUUUCUUUUAUGUGAAAAUAGACUUAUUCAUCUUCAAUUUUGUAUAUUAUUAAACUUCUAAUUCAAUUUUCACCAUUUUUGGUGAUUUUUCAAAUUCACACAACUGUUUCUGUCAAAACUAUUUUGUUGCUAAAUGUACUCUUUCAUAAUUUCACUUUUUCAUUUUCAAUCACAAUUCAAUUCAAAAUUCACUUUUCCAUUUCUAAGUCAAUAUUCAAUUCAGCUCCACACCUAUAUUAAUUAUUCAAUUACACUUAGUCAAUUUCCCGUUGAACACUUGAAAUAUACAUGGAUACGUAGAGAAUUAGUACAUAAGUGCCACACUGAUAUGUAGCCGAAGCUACCACUGAUAUGUAGCCGUAGCUACCACUGAAAUGUAGCCGAAGCUACCACUGAAAUGUGCCCGAAGCUACCACUGAUAUUUAGCCGAAGCUACCACUGAAAUGUAGCCGAAGCUACCACUGAUAUGUAGCCGUAGCUACCACUGAUAUGUAGCCGAGGCUACCACUGAUCAAUAACACUGGAGAUGUCCACGGGCCUGCUCACACAAGCUGUCAAGUGUCUGCAACACAUGCUAGAUCACCCGGCACCCGGGACUGACUGUAACACUGUAACACUGAUCUCUAGUGACAUGUCAUUUGUAUCCACUUCUAUUCCUAAGUUCAACCGGGAAUUUACACUUAACACUUUAUUUUAAACACCUUAUCACUUAAAUAAUUCAUGAAUAAUUUUCCUUCCACAUUCAAUAUUAAUUCACAUAUAAAAUAUAAUAUAACUAUUAUAUACGUUUAACUUACUUUGGUGCAACAAUAUAAAAAUUUAACAAUUUAGUCUUUAAUCUUUUCUUUUCUCCGAUCAAGGUAAUUCAACUUCUUUCUUGAUCUAUAAUAACACAUUUGACUUAUUUAACACUCACAUUUAUCAAAACAGUCCUUGACUCAAAUUUUGGCAAAAUUACAAUUUUGCCCCUAAACUUUUGCAUAUUUACACUUUUGCCCCAAAACACGUAAAUUAAACUUCAACCCUUAUUCUUAUGUAUUAUGGCAUGCUGAACAUUUUUCCCUUCUAUGGCAACAUCAAAUUCCCACUCUAACACUUAGUUAUGAACUUUAGGUAUUUUUAUCGAUUAUAUCGUUUUACUCGUUUUUACUUAAAAUCACUUAGCAAAAGUUGUUUAACAUAAUUUCAAGCUUCAUAUUCUACCAUAAAACAUCAAAAUAAACACAUUUCACUUAUGGGUAUUUUUCCAAAUAUAAACCCUAGGUUAAAUUAUUGCUAGAAUAAGCUAAAUCAAGUUACCGGGACUUUAAAAACGUAAAAAACAUUAAAAACGGGGCUUGGAAUGACUUACUAUGGACCUUGGAAGCUUGAAACCCUAACUAUGGCUUCUCCCCUUGUAAAAUUCGGCCAUGGGGUUGAAGAUGAUGAUUUUUGGCCUAUUUUGCCUUUUUAAUACAUUUUAAUUACCAAAUUACCAAAAUGUCCCUAACUUAAAAAUUUUCUAUUUCACUUAUCUCAUGUCCAUUUUUGUCCAAAAUGUAACCAAUGGUCUAAUUACCAUUUAAGGACCUCCAAUUUAAAAUUUCAUAACAAUUGGACACUUCUAACAUGUAGAACUCAACUUUUGCACUUUUUACAAUUUAGUCCUUUUGGCUAAAUUGAGUGCCCAAACGUCGAAAUUUUUAAACAAAAUUUUUACGAAAUCAUUCUGUGAAAUCGUAGACCAUAAAAAUAUAAUAAAAAUAAAUUUUUUUCUCGUCAAAUUUGUGGUUCCGAAACCACUAUUCCGUCUAGGCCCAAAAUCGGGCUGUUAUAUGAGCACUCACAAAUCCUUUGUUAUUGAUCAAAAAAUAUGCAACAUUAUCACUAUCACAUAGCAUGCUUAUCAUACUCACAAUUGAUGUACUUACAAGUACAACCACAAUGCUCCAUGAGCCAUAAUAUCAUUAGAUCACAUAACACAUACUAAAAUAAUCCACAUAUUACUUAUUGUUUUGUUAUAUCAAUUAUUAGAACUCACUACAAGUAUUCAUCACAAUUAAAAAAAGAAACAAAUGGGAUAAGAAGGCUUACUUUCGAAACUUAUGAUAGGGGUUUAGGCUACUCCUAAGCUCUCGUUUAACACAAUGAAUCGUGCCUACAAGGAGUGAUUCCAAAACACUCAUCGUUCACGUUUUCACUUGAAAAUCGCAAGCUCAAACUAGUUUUUUCUCACCUUUCGCCUUACUCGAAGAGGGCCCCAACAGUUCCAAAGCUUCACAUAUAUAACCACACAACAUAUACAAGCAAUUAGCAACCAAAACACAUCUUAAUUCAAACAAAAAUGCAGGUCCAAAACUAGCUUUUCUAAAAACUGGAAUUUUCUACUAGAUUGGCUAAAACUCAAAUAGGGUUUGUCCUAUUUUGAUUACUAUAAAUUUUUUUUCUCAAUUUAGCCACUCUAAAUAAAAUAAUUGUGCGACUUAGUUACUAACUGCCUCUCGACGUACCAACACCAGAGGUGUGAAUAUUGCUACUAAGGAUAGGAAUUAAGGCAAUGUCCACAAGUAUAUGAGUCAGGUUGUAAUAUAGUUUAGAACGAAGUAUGGAAGUAUCUGAGGAUCGUACCCUAGGGAGGUGAGACUAAACUAAUACUAAUUUCUACGUUGAUGGGUCUAGUUAGUAAUUAAAUUAAAUUAUAUUACAAUAUAUCCUAAGGUGAUGAGAAAGUAUCUUUUAUAAAAAUAAGAUAAUUAAGAAUGGGAAUAGAGUACAGAUUCUAUCAAUUCUAAUGAUGGAAGACUAACUCGUUUCAGUGUUCAUAAUUAGCUUCUACUUAGGGUUCUACUCAAGGCCUCUUUGCCUUCCACUAACCUAAUGAGUCGGUAAAAACUACUUAUCUCUCGAUGCUACAGUCCAGACCGAAUGGGGGUAAGGUUUUAACGAAUAGAUAAUAUUGAUUUUGGGUUCAUUCCCACCUAUAUGACUUCUUAGAGUCAUCAAGCCUAGGGUUUUAAGUUCUUUCUAUCCCCGACCAGCUGAUUUGCUAAGAAUCUCUAAAUAGAAGUUAAUGAGUCCCACAUCCACUCGUUAAUCUUCCUUACUGGAUUAGUUCCCCAUGGAUUUAACACAUGCAAAGAAAUUGAUAGUAAAAUAUAAACGUUAUAAAAGAAAUCAGGGGUAGAGAUGAGAAAAAUCCUGAUAAUUCAAUAACAGAAGCACGAACUAAUGAAAAACUUAAUGAAAAACUAAACUGAAUACAAAGCAAAAUAAAAACUAUUCAUGAAGUGUUUAGAUUAGAGGUUAUCAUGCGCCGAGCGGCCCGGCUCGGCCCGAUGGCCCGUCUGAAAUAUGAGAGGGUUUUGGUAAAAAUAUAAGUCUGAAAUAUGAGUUUGGGCAAAAAACGAGGCCCGUUUAGAAAACGGGCCGAGCCUCGAGCAAAAAUAUAUAUAUAUUAAUAAUAAAUUUGUCAUUUUCCCUCCCUAUUUCCCAUUUCCCAUUUCCUUAAGCCCGUAAAAAUCCCUAAGCCCUUCCCUCCUUUUCUUAUUUUUAUUUUAAAAUUUUUUUAUUUUUAUAUUUCAAAUUUUAAAAUUUAAUUUUAAUUAUUAGUAUUGUUAAAUUUGUUGAUAUGAUAUUUCAUGGGCAAGGGUUCUACUCUAAAAUAAAAAUAAAAAUUCUUUUUUUUAACUCUUUAUAAUUUAUAAAAUUUUAAAAUAGUAAUGGUAAAAUUACACUUUGCCCCUCAAAUGAUAAAAAAACGUUAAUUUAAUCUUUUAAAAAUUAUAAAAAUAUAGGCUAUUAAAAUGGUAAAAUCUUUUUUUUCUAUCAUGAAAAAAAGGUCGGGCUGGGCUAGGCUCGGGCUUAGUAUUUUUUUCCUCGGGCCGGGCCAGGCCGGGCCUAGGAAGCGGGCUGAAAUUUUUUUUGGGCCCGAGUUUAGAUCCUUCUAUUUAUAGGCCUAGGGUUGGUCACCAAUCAUUGACCUAAUUCGGCUAACGUUUUGCAUUGAAGUUUGUUGUGCAAACACCCUUGGUUAAUUAAUUCCUCAUGUCAUGUCGGUGUCAUGACACCCUCUGGUCUAUGUCGCGACACUAAUGAUAGUUUAUUAGCUGGGGCUUGAUUUUAGGACUAUGUCGCGACACCCUCUUUUUACGUUGCAAAAGCUUACGAAAUUGAUGAACUAUAAGGAAAAGCUUGGUACUCCAAUUAAAGAACAAAUGCUUUUGCUUAUGAAUGUUUGCGUAAGUGAAGGACAAUGGGCUGGUUUAGAUCAUAACACUUAGACAGAGAUGGUGCUCAAAUAUCUAAUAUUAUUAUUUUUAUUAUAUUAUUAAAAAUUCCACGUGUCAACUAAGGGUAUUUUUUAACAGUGAUAAUGGUAUGGGCCCAUAAUGGUUACCGAAUUAUAAUUUAAGUACUGGAUUUGACAAAAAAAAAUGUAUCUAACUAAAAGAACUGUUAUAGUUUGAGGGUUGUGCAUUGAACUAAGCCUUUUUUAUAGUAGUGAUAUAAAUAUCCUUUUUUGUCUAAAAUGUCUGCGGUUGACUAACACCGUUGUUUGUUUGUUUUUUUUUUUUUAAAUAAUUAGAGAUUUUAGCUUAGUUGGUGUAAGCAACAAUUAUUUGUCCAUUUAAUAUUAUAUUUUGGCGUGAUUAAAACGGAUCAUUUGUUAAUAUGAACGCAAAUGUGUUAUUAUUAUAAUUUGUCCAUUUAAUGUUUUAUUUUGGCGUGAUUAAACGGGAUCAUAUUAUUGAAUAUAUCCUAAUAAGUAAUCUAAUCUAGAUACUGAAAAUCUAAUAAUCUUCGUUAAUUAUAUUAUGGUAAAUUCUGCAUCAAUAUUCACCUUCUUUUCUCUUGUUAAUUUUAAAUUUCUUGAAUGAUAGAAUUUUUAUUUGUGGAGUUCAUUAAUAAAUAUUUUUAUAUAAUUGAUGAAUAUUUUAUAUUUGAAAUUUAUUCAAUAUCAUUUAUUUAAUAUUUGUAAAUAUUAAUAUAUAUUAAAUUCUUUUUUAAAAUAUCGAUAAAUUUGAAAUGAUAUAUCGAAAUAGAUCGGUACCGUUAUGUACCAGUUCUAGUAGAAAAAUGGUGUGCCCACCGGUGUUGUAAGCUCCCCGACCCAACCUAGAUGCUAGACCGAAUCUAGAAGACAACAUCAGCCAUCGAGAUGGCUUACCAGGGUUAUCGAAGUUUAGAAAACAACCAUUUUAAAACCUUCGUUUAAUUUAGUAGAAAAAUUCGAUUACAAACCGUUUUAUUAUUCCUCAAAAUCUUAAUUUUAAUUUACUAACAAAAGAAAUUAUAUCUAUUGGUUUUAAGGAAAACUGGGGGUUCAUGCAUAGAAAUUAAUAAUUAUAGUAUAAUAUCUUAAAUUUUUAAAUAAAAUGUCAUGCAAAAUAAAAUCUCAAAUCUAAAGCCUCGGUUCCAUGCCAUAGUUCGAAAUAAAGUAGUACAAACUAUAAUAAUAGGAUAACCCAAAUAAUAAGUCCUAAUAAAUUGAAAUUUUGAAACCGAGUCGUGACACUCCGAUUGCCACGUCUGCGUUCCUAACCUGGUGGGUUAUCUUUAAGGAUGAAAAUUUAAUGGGAGAGUGAGCUAUAACGCUUAGUAUGAGUUCAAUCACAAGAAAAUUAGUGCAACACUUAGUAAGAUGCAUUAGAUAAUAUCGCAUAAAAUAUUCACAAUCAGACAACAAUUCAAAUUAUCGAAUUUUCAAAGCAACUACCAUUAAUAUAUCGGAACUCACAAUAGUAGUUUUCAGAAUAACCAAAAUUUCAUAUUUACCUACAAUGAACAUAUAUAGACACAUAUAGACAAUAAUAGAUUUUCCAGAUUUGUAUGCACAUGUGUUUAAAAUGCCAUAAAGUUUUGGUUUUUAACAAAAUAGAUCCUACCUCACCACUACACACUAUAAUGGGACUUAACCAGAACUCCCUUCUCCAACACAACGGGAUAUGGAUAAACCACUAUUGGUUCGCAGAUAAUAACUUCCAUUUGACUGUGGACACACAGAAAGUCCCCGUAGUUGGAAUCUGCCUUUAGUUGUGGGUUCACAGCAAAAAGUCCUGCAGAUGAAACAUACUUUUUGGCUAUAGUUUAUACAGCAUAAACCUGCAGCUAGAAUCUUCCUUUGGCUAUGGAUACACAGCAAUACCCGUAGAUGGAAUUUGCCUAUGGUUGUGGAUGUACACAAAAUAGAUGAAUGCAGAUAAACUGCCAAACUUCUUCCGAUCACAUCGUCUCAUCCCAAGCAAUGCAAUGCGGCAUGUUUAAUAUAGAUCAAGUAUGAUAGCAAUUAAUGAACUAAUACAUGACAAAUCAGUAGCAAAAUCAUGUUUUUCAUGUAUUCGGAUUAAUAGUAACAUAGGUCAUGUCGUUCAUACUAUCACAAGUAUAGAUACAAUAUUAACAUUUCCUAUUCGUAAUUUAUGCAAAUAUACAUAUACAAAUAAACACCGCAUUAAUUCGAUCAAUCAUGGUUUCUAACAUAUUUCAUAUCCUCAAGGACCCAAUUGCAUAAUUUCAAACACUAAAAAUAGUUCAGAACUUAAUCAGGGAUUCAUCUGAUCAAAACAUAGAAUUCUGGGUCAAAAUAGUAAAAUCUUAGUUACAGGGUACAGACGACUGUGUUAUCGAAUCAUGUCAGAAGCCUUGGGCCGUGUGGAUGGAAUGUACAGCCGUGUGGCUAGGCCGUGUGGGUCAUGCAAAAUUAAGCUUCAGGGGUGACACGGUUGUGUGGGAGGCCGUGUAGGGGGUCCUAGGCCAUGUGAAAGUCGAACAUCCUAAGGUUUAAAGGGGGCAUGGCCACGUAUGGGGGAUGUGUGGUCCACAGGCCCCAAUGGUUGGCCAUGUGGCUCUAUUUUAGGCUUGAUUUUCCCCUGAGUCACUUGUAAAAGAAAACACACCUGUCGUCGUGUCUCGAACGACAUCCCUCUCGAUCAAAUUUUGUCUUGGAUACCUAAAUCGGGUCCUUCAAACAACAUUAAUUAAGAAUUAACAAAUGUUAUCAAGAUCUAUCAAUAUUACUAUGAAUUUCAGCAAGAAAUCAUUAAAAAGAUUGAUAAUGGAUGAAAAAUCAGUUUCAAGAUGACGAUAUUACAAAUCUUUGAAGUUCCAUUUAUAGAUAAGGUGCUUACCAAUCCUUAACAAGAUUAGAGAUGAAAUUGAUGACGUUACGCUAAACUGAUAAAAAGGUUAGGUUGAUCGAAGAUUGUUUUCGGGUUCAAGAUGGAAAAUAAUAUUUCACAACAAUGGAGAAAAAUAUUCGCAAAUAGAAGAAUGGAGAAGAAAACGGGAGAAAUAAAUAGAGAGAAAAGAAAUAAAAUUUGGUUUGGUUUGAAAAAGGAACAAGAAUACAAAUGUAAUUAGGAAAAGAUAAAUACCCAGAUUUUUCAAAAUAUGAGGGAUUGUUUGGGUAAUUAACUCUUCUUGUCGAAAUUAAAUAGGGGAAAGGAAAUGGUGAGGUGUUUGGCAUGACUUGAACAUUGAAAAUAAGGGAUGGAAUACAAAGGCUUAACCAUUUGGCUGCUACUCACUCUUGAAAUGUAUUUGCUCCAUUUAAUAUAUAUUCUAGGGGAUUUUCAUUCUACUUUGCUGAAACAUUAAAACAAAAAGAUUGGAAAGAGGUGGAUUGACCCUAGAAUCUCUAAGGAGUAUACUAAGCUCUUAACCAUUAAGACUAAGACUCAUUUCUUAGUUAAUUAUUACUUCUAAACCUAUAUAUUUUGGGGUGUUACAAUUCUCCCCUACUUAAAGAAAUUUCAUCCUCGAAAUUUACCUAGUUUGAAUAAAUGAGGAUACUGCUGGCAGAACGUGACUUUUGGUUCCCAUGUAGCCUCCUCUGUCCUAUGGUUCCGUCACAAUACUUUCACAAGAGGAACUUAUUUCCUUUUCAAAACCUUUACGUCUCAAUGCAGAAUUUGAAUUGGUUCUUCCUCAAAGGACAAAUUCGGUCUCAAUUCGAUCUCCUUAAUUGGAAUAAUAUGGGUAGGAUUGGAUCGGUACCGUCUCAACAUAGAGACAUGGAAAACAUCAUGGAUUCAAUCCAGUUCGGGUGGUAAUUUUAAUUGAUAAGCAGCUGGGUCGAUUCUCUUAAGGAUUUGGUAGGGUUUUAUGAAUUUUGGACUUAACUUACCCUUUUGAUCGAACAUGAACAUCUUUCACCUUGGGGACACUUUCAGGAAGACUUGAUCGCCGACACUGUAUUCAAUGUCCUUCCUCUUUAAGUCAUAUGUAAUUGCGAUGUAUGAGUCUUCAUCCUACAUAGUUCGUGAGCCAUGUGUGGGGUGAAGUCAUAUUCUUUUCGAUUUAGUCCAGUUAUUUCCGAUUCUUUAUCCGUUGUGCAUGUGUCAUGUGUAUCAUAUAAUAUUGUAUAUGAUCAAUCAUAUAUUUAUAUUUAUAUUGUACUUGUGAUUGUGAUUGUAUUGUAUGUAAUAAGUUUGUGAAAUUAAGAAUUUAAAAAAUAUAUAUUUACCUAUUUCUAUUAUAAUAUUGUAUUUGAUAGAACAUAUAUUUAUACUUAUAUUGCACUCGUGAUUAUAUUGUAUUUAAUGCGUUUGUCAAAUUAACAAGGGGGCUCCUAAUUUUGCCAUUACUUUUUCAAGAUUUUAACUUUUUUUUAAGUAGUUACUGAUGUCUUUUUUUAUGACAUAAUACUUAGAACUAUUCAUAGUCUCUGUUCAAUUCAUAAGUAGGAGGAUAAUAUAUUUCAACACACUCGAACACACGUCCUUCUGUAUCGAUAACAAUGUCCAUGCCAAUCGAGUUAAGACUCAAUCAACAUAUUUUUAAUGUUAUAUUUUGGGGUGUUACAAUUCUCCCCUACUUAAAGAAAUUUCAUCCUCGAAAUUUACCUAGUUCGAAUAAAUGAGGAUACUGCUGGCAGAACGUGACUUUUGGUUCCCAUGUAGCCUCCUCUGUCCUAUGGUUCCGUCACAAUACUUUCACAAGAGGAAUUUAUUUCCUUUUCAAAACCUUUACGUCUCAAUGCAGAAUUUGAAUUGGUUCUUCCUCAAAGGACAAAUUCGGUCUCAAUUCGAUCUCCUUAAUUGGAAUAAUAUGGGUAGGAUUGGAUCGGUACCGUCUCAACUUAGAGACAUGGAAAACGUCAUGGAUUCGAUCCAGUUCGAGUGGUAGUUUUAAUUGAUAAGCAACUGGGUCGAUUCUCUUAAGGAUUUGGUAGGGUUUUAUGAAUUUUUGACUUAACUUACCCUUUUGAUCGAACAUGAACACCUUUCACCUUGGGGACACUUUCAGGAAGACUUAAUCACCGACACUGUAUUCAAUGUCCUUCCUCUUUAAGUCAUAUGUAAUUGCGAUGUAUGAGUCUUCAUCCUAUGUAGUUCGUGAGCCAUGUGUGGGGUGAAGUCAUAUUCUUUUCGAUUUAGUCCAGUUGUUUCCGAUUCUUUAUCCGUUGUGCAUGUGUCAUGUGUAUCAUAUAAUAUUGUAUUUGAUCAAACAUAUAUUUAUAUUUAUAUUGUACUUGUGAUUGUAUUGUAUGUAAUAAGUUUGUGAAAUUAAGAAUUUAAAAAAAUUUAUAUUUACCUAUUUCUAUUAUAAUAUUGUAUUUGAUAGAACAUAUAUUUAUACUUAUAUUGCACUCGUGAUUAUAUUGUAUUUAAUGCGUUUGUCAAAUUAACAAGGGGGCUCCCAAUUUUGCCAUUCACUUUUUCAAGAUUUUAACUUUUUUUAAAUAGUUACUGAUGUCUUUUUGUAUGACAUAAUACUUAGAACUAUUCAUAGUCUCUGUUCAAUUCAUAAGUAGGAGGAUAAUAUAUUUCAACACACUCGAACACACGUCCUCCUGUAUCGGUAACAAUGUCCAUGCCAAUCGAGUUAAGACUCAAUCAACAUAUUUUUAAUGUUAUAUUUUGGUAUAAUUAAAACGAGAUUGCUUAUUAAUAUUUAUGAAAAAUGGUUUUUUUCAUCAUUGAUGUUGCUUUUAUGAUUAAAAUUGAGAGUGAAUAUUGUUCAAAGAAAAAUAAAAAAAUCAAUGAGGUAGUCAUGAACUUGGGGGCCUGAAAAUGGAGUGGAGAUAGGUUGACUUGCCUCAAUAGCUAUCUGCUUGCGCAUGUAUCAUAUUAUUGAAUAUAUAUCUAAUCUAUGUGGUAGUGGUCAGGUUUUCAAAGUUUGGGACUUCUAGACAUGAAAUAUGUUGGGGAGAUUUUACUAUGGGUUGAGAAAAAAAUUAUAAUAGGACCAAAAUUUCUAACAUUAUAUUAAUAUUACAAUUUUUAACAGUUUUAAUUAAAAAUGUUGAUAUAAACCUUUUCUUUUUGAAGCGCACAACAAGUUGCAUGAGUUUGACCAUAAGCUAUAUAGCUUUCGGUUUGUAUGUAUUCUGAUUUUUGUUUAUCAUUUUGCAUCACAACAGGUCCAUACCGUCAGGACUGAUGCCGUACGGUACUUUGUACUGAUAGUUUAGCUUGGAGCCACAUAUCGAAAGUCCACUUUCAAUAUGGCAUCACACGAAGAUUUAAUUAAUUUUUUUACAACAGUUGAUGAAAUCAACCACUUAUUCUUUUAGCCAUUAAAUUUUAGUGCAUAAAUUGAUGAAGAGCCCGGCUCCCAUAUGGAACCUUGUCCAAUCAAACAGGAGUAUCAUAGUCUAUAAAUAGCAUAUUGAGCCGUAUGCUAAUUCACUUCAAAACAAAAAGAUCUUAAAAACAAACAAGACGUCAGCUAAGAUGAAUAUGGGCAAUGCUAAUGGGGAGGAUGCUAUUGAGGCACUCCAAGCACAAGCUCACAUUUGGAGACAUGCUUUCAACUUCGUAAGCUUCAUGUCUCUAAAAUGUGCACUUGAUUUAGGCAUCCUUGAUAUCAUUCAUGAUCAUGGCAAGCCCAUGACUAUUACCGAGCUGGUUGCUGCGCUACAGAUGCUCAACCCUACUAAAGCAUGUGACAUUUAUAGGCUCAUGCGCAUUCUAGUUCACUCGGACUUCUUUGCACGCCAAAAGCUAGACAAUGAUGCUCAAGAAGAAGGAUAUGUUCUUACCAACUCUUCUCGUAUUUUGCUCAAGAAUAAUCCCUUCUGCAUAACGCCUACUUUGAAGGCUACAAUGGAUCCUAUCAUAACAAAGCCUUGGAGUUUUCUAGGGACCUGGUUCCAAAAUGAUGAUCAUACUCCAUUUGCUACUGCAUAUGGGAAGACAUUGUGGGACUAUUUUACCCAUGAUCCUCAGCUAAAAGAUUUGAUAAAUGAUGGCUUAGCUAGUGAUUCUCAAUUGGUUACUAGUGUUCUAGUUGACAAGUGUAAAGGGGCAUUUGAGGGAUUGGACUCCCUUGUAGAUGUUGGGGGUGGCACAGGAACUACGGCCAAGGCCAUUGCUGAUACAUUUCCACUCAUGGAGUGCACUGUGUUUGAUCUUCCUAAUAUUGUUGCUGGCUUGCAAGGGAGUAAGAACUUGAAAUAUGUUGGAGGCAACAUGUUUGAGGCAUUUCCAACCGGAGACGCAAUUUUAUUAAAGGUUAAGCUUUACUAAAUUUAUUCGCAUUAUUUUUUUCUGGUAUUUUUACUUUUAUAAAUAAUGCACAACAAAUUCCAUUACACAUGAUAAUAUUCAAAGAUUUGAAGGCAAAUGUAAUCAUAGUUUGUGGGUUAGCUAAUAUUUUAUGAGCUAAUUAUGAAUGAUAAUUGAACAGAAGGUAUUGCACGAUUGGAAUGAUGAAGGAUGCUUGACAAUUUUGAAGCGAAGUAAAGAGGCCAUUUCAAGCCAAGACAAGGUAGGAAGAAAGUUGAUCAUAAUUGACAUGGUUGUGAGGGAGAAUGAGCAAGUGAAUGAUGAAGCCUCAAGCUUAACUAAAACACAACUCUUUUUCGACAUGUUGAUGUUGGUAUUGGUGGCUGGAAAAGAGAGGCGGGAAGAAGAAUGGGCUAAACUAUUUUUAGCAGCUGGUUUUAGUUCUUUCAAAAUUACUCCUAUUGUGGGUUUGACAUCUCUCAUUGAGGUUUACCCCUGAGAGCAUUUGGUUAUUGCAUUAUUAGUAUAAUAAUGUGGAGAAAUACAUAGUUGAAGUGGUAAAAUUGUUCUUUGUUGACAUCAUUUACUAGAGUUGUUUGCUGGGAUUUUAACUGUCCUAUAAUAAGAAAUGUUGUUGUGUUGUUGUCAUGGUCCUACUCUUAUUGACCUUUCUUCUUGUUAUAACUCCUAAGGUUUGCACUUGUAUCUUCAAUAAUAAUAAUUGUUGUUGUAAUCGUUGUCGUCAUCAUACUCUUCUAGAACUCUGUUAUUGUUACCGUCAUUGUUGUCCUACUGUUAUAAGUUAAUUUUAAAAUUCAUGGUUUAAAUUCUGUGCUGGAAUCAUUUUGAUGUUGUUAAGUAUUUAUACAAGCACUAAAAAACACAUAGACAAUACGAACACAAUGGGUUAAAAUAAAAUUGUUAUAAAAAUUCUAAAAUUCAAAAAAUAAUAGAAAAACAAAUUUAAAAAAAAUCUUUUUUCUAAAAGAAAUGCAUAAUGUUUAAAUAUGCUAAAACAUAUAAAUAUAUUCAAAUCUUGAAGACGACAUUAAUGAUAGAAAUAAUCAUAAACCUUAAAUAUAAACAGUAAAUACCAAAUAUAUAUAACAAUAUUCAACUUAAUACCGUAUCCAUUUAUUUUCACCGCAAAAAGCCCUCAGCAUCCAAACUAAGCAAAUUCAAAUUCAACUUUUUUAUUCAAACACUUUUUCUUAUCUAUUAAUUAAAUAAUCUCACUUUCUAUUAAUUAAUAAAUUAAGGUUGAUUUGGAUGGGUGAUGAGAUUAAUUCCGCAAUUCAAAUCCAAUUUAAAGUAAAUAAACAUGCAGUUAACUAACCAUAAUUCUUUUUUAGUAAAUAGAGUUUAAAUGAGAUUAAUGAUUUGUGUUAAUAUAAUUUUAAUUGAUUCUAAUAAAUAAUGAAUGCCUAACAUGGUAAAGAAAUAACAAUCCGAGUCAAUUAGUUUUGAAGUAAAUAAUUAAUUCUGGCCUAAAAUUUUCACAUUUUUUAUUUAUAUUAUAUUUAAAUUAUUCGUGAUUGAAUUAGUAUCACAAGUCAAUCAAAUAUUAAUUAAAAAAUUUAAUAACAAAAAAUAUAAAUUUUAUUACAAAUAUAUAUAUAUAUAUUUGUCUAUCAAUAAUUGUAUACUCUUUUUAAUUAAAUUCCUUAAAUUACAAUCCUAGAAAAAAAUCUUAGAUGAAAUCUUCAAUUGGAUUACCAGUUAAGGUUUAAAUAUUUAAAAUAAAUUUGAACGCAAGUUCAACAUUUGGUGUUAAUUUUAUAGAUACAAACUAAAAAUUGAACGCAAGUUCAACGUGAGUGUAAUAAAAUUUAAUAGGAUUUGAAUAAUUUGUGAACUUUCGGUUUCUGCUGAGGCAUGUAAAUUAAAUUGAAUAUACUGUGAUAUGAGGAAGGAUUUAAAAAAGAAAGAAAUACAAGAAAUAAUGAAAGAUUAAUGAAUGUGGUCUACUUCAAUGGGUAUGAAAUUGCCAAAGAUGAGUAGACCCUUACACAGCACUGGUACAAUUGGGUGUCCAAGGUCCAUAGUUCAAUCCAAAACCAGGAAAAUUUUCAUUAAAUGUUUUGGGUAAAAUUGAAUGUUUACAUCAUGAUUAUUUUGGGUUUUAUUUUUAUCAAAAUAAUAUAAAAAAUAAUUAUAAAAAUGAUAUAAGUUCUAGAUUAUUUACAAAAAUGGGUAUUUUUUAUAGUUCCAUUAUGUGCCAUUAAGUUGUCAGUGGAACCACCCAAAAUCUCACACAAUCAUAUGUCAAUCAUUACAAUAAGAAAAAAAUACCGCCUAACACAUUGACGGAAUCGAUUUGAUUUUUACGAAAAAAGGACCUCAGAGAGAAGUUUAUAAUGUGAGGGGGAAAGUUGCUAAGAAGUUCACCAAUUUCAUGGGUUAUGGAGAUUUUUAGGUUUUGGAUAAUCGGCAAUUCAAGCCUUUCAUAGUUUUGCAACAUAAAUAAGUAGGUUUUAUAUGUUUUUUCACCAGGAUGCAAAUGAUUUACUUGUCAUUUGCUUCAAAUUGAAUUAAAAUUACAAUUAUAUGUGCAUGGACUGAAGUAAAAUAAAUUACAAAAUCACCAAACCAUGAAAGACCUGAAUUGCCAAUUACCAAAAACCUAAAAACCUGCACACCCGACGUUGUUGGUGAACUUGGCAGCAACUUUCCCUCCUAGGCUUUUCUUUAUAAAAAUCAAACAGGUUUUUUCAGGCCACAUCACCAAAAAAAUUCAUACAAGUGCCACCUAAUGAUUGGCAUAUGAUUGGGUGAAAUUUAAUAUGGUGUCUUCUAACAGUUUGGCGGCACCCAGUGACACAAUAAAAACAUUCCAUUGUCGAAAAUAAUCUAGAUCCUAUAUCGUUUUCAUAAUUACUUUUUUUUAUAUUAUUUUGGUAAAAAGUCAGCUUAUUUUGUGGAUCUAAAUGAGCUAUUUUCAGCUUUGACAAAAAGCCAUAACGUUCCCCAUUUUGAACCACCUCCGACCACAACAAACUAGAAAACACAACUACCUUGCCAUGAACAUAAUCACCAAAACAUAAACAUGAUAUAUAUUCCUUUUGUUCCCAUCUUUAUAAGAAAUCAGAACCUUUAAUAUUGUAACACCUUAUACCCAGUCCGGUCGUCAGACCCGAGCUAUGGAAUGCCACAUUAACCACCUAAGUGACUCUCCAUUUAAACACAACUUAACCUCCAGCAAACCAUAAGUUAAAACAUAAAACAUGUUUAGAUUUAAUAAAUCACAAGCUCGUGAACUCACAUCGCUUGCAUCAUGGUACACAACAGCAAUAACAUGCGAACCUACAUCGCUUGUAAGAACUUAACUACUCUUUCCCUGAAGACAUAAUUAUUUAACGAAAGGAAUUAAGAACAUGUGAACUCUAAGUUUUGCAGAGCAAUAUACCUCGCAGAACACAGCAAUUCAACUGUCUAACGUUGGGGUUCGCACCCAUGCUUACCUCAUGCAUUCUAAGUCUUUUUUGGGGUAAAUUUCCUUAAACAGGAAAGGUCUUCACGUACCUCUAUGUGUUUUUAUUCUGCGAACACAUUUAGCAGGGUCUCUCCUAAUUCCGUGUAGCAAAAUUUAUUAAGGGUUUGCAAGUACUAGUUCGCCAAUUGUUAGGGUUUGCACUUUCCACAGUUCGAUAACCUUAUCACUUCGCAAAGACUGUGGCGAACUAUAUAUAGGUUACUCAAGUUGAUUUAUUACAUGUUUUGCUUAUGGCGAACACAAUUAAAGAUUAAAUACUUCAGCAUGUACUUGCAAAUUAAAAAAAAUAUUAGCAAAUCUUUGAACUAUAUUCGUAUGCUUAAAAAUUUAGGUGUGCAUAUAUAGUUUUAUUGGUUUCCAAGAGAUAUUGAAUACAAAUAUAAAACAAAACUAAUACUUAGAGCAAUUGGCGAAGUCUAUAGAUAGAAAGAAAUCACUAAACCCAAGUAGAAACCCACAUUUGCCUUUAUGUCCAGAGUUCGCUUAUAUCACAUUUCUAGUGUUUAUACUUUGCCUAGAUCACUCGCAAUCGCCGCUACACACUAUGCGAUCUAACUGUCUUUAAUGUUUAAAGAGGAAUGUGUGAACUCUUGUGAACUCAAUGAAUAUACAAGAAAACCACAUAGCAUGCACAAAAAACAUAAGUUAAACAAGUGUUUAAACAAAGUUACGGAUCUGUGAACCGGUUUCGCCAUAUUUACACGAAUCUUGGUUCACAGUUAUCUACUGUUAGUUAGCUUAAAACAGUAAAACAUAAUAUUUUGAAAAACACAAUCUUAUUCACAUGUUCUUUUUUGUUGGAUAAGUGGAUCUUCUUAUAACUCCUUACUUUGACUCAAAGAGUCUUAAUAUGUCCCAUAAGAGUAGCAUAAAGCUUAGCACUCUCCAAACACACCAACAUAUCCCAUUGAAUGGAGCUUAGCUUAACAUUCUCUUAUUUCUCCUACCCUAUCUCAAGGCCUCUCGCCCAAAACAUGAAACACAAAGAUGAGUACUCACAUUCCUAUGGCAUGUCAUUAUAUCCAACGGUUUCAGAAGAUUAUAGUGCCAAUACAUUCAUUUAAACAUAGAGCUCAGAAAUCAAGAAGAGCUCAUAGAACACUAUUCAUAAUUAGCUCGCAUAUUACUGUUCACAAAAACACAUAUUUAAACUAAAUCACAAAAUAGAGUUUUAGCAAAGACUUACUCUCAAAACUUAGGUUAAAGCCCUAAGCUCCUAAUUAACUCUAUGGUUUGCACAUACAAGUGGUGACGCUUGAACACUCACCAAUUUGCUGAAAGCUUUUAAACAAGAUUCGUUUUUUCCCUUGUCUUUGCUUUUAGAUAGUUCUAUCAGGUUCGUAAUUCCACAACAUAGAUAAGUUACAGGAAAAACACAUUAAGACUUAUACAUAAACACAGGCGAACCUAGGUUCGCACAUGCUAGUCUUUUGGGGAACCUAGUUUCCUUUGCUAUGAGUGUAACACCCCUAACCCGUAUUCGUCGUGCAAUUAGGGUUACGAAGCAUAAUAAAUAUCGAAAUAUCAUACUUAACAAAAUGAACCAAAUAUCAUAGCUGUAUAUAUAUAUGCAUCAUGUGUAUGUAACUUUUUAAAAGUUGAGUGACUGAAAUGAAACCUAGGUGAUUGCUUUGUCAGCUACCUCAAAGUUGGGUGACUGUUGGUAUAAUUUACCCUAAAUAUUAUGACUAAACAUUUAAAUUCAUAAAAGGAAUUUUAACUGAAGUUUAUUAGUAGUGUGAAUACCAUCUAUCUGAUUUAUGGCAAGAUAUUUGUAUAGUAUAAUGAGAACAAAUAGAUAUUUACAAAUACUUUGAAUUUCAGUUAAAUCUAAGAUCGUUUUACUUUUUUUUUUUUUUACACGGUCAACAAAAUAAAGUAUUUCUUAUCUUUUAAAAGAUUAUUCAAUUAGUUUAAAGUUUAUGAUAAAAAAAAUCACAGCAAACAGAAAAUAGAUAGAUUCAUAUUUAAUGAAACCAAUAAAAAGAUUUUAUUUCUUUUACUUCAAGUCAUGAACAAAUAAUUAUUCUACAUGGGUUUGUAAAGAAAAAGGACCUUUUUUUCUACUUUAUCUUGAUUUUCAUUGUAUAAAUAUUUUUUUAACAAUUUCAUUAUAUAUUUUAGUCAUAUCUGUUUAUUUGGACACAGAGCUCCCAUAAUUUAUGCGCUUCAGCACACUUGAACGCAUGUUUUCCAACAAUACUCAUACCAAUCGAAUUAAAAUUCAAUCAACUUUAUUACCCUUUUAAGAUCAAAGAUGAAACUAAUAUUUUAUUGAUAACUCAAUAACUUUUUAUUUCUAGAAAUUUAUCUUUAAAUAUCACGCAUAAAGCAACAAAUGCACACCCUUAUUCAAGAUAUCUUUCUUUGUAUAUCAUGCAUAAAAGCAAUAAACCCAAAAGCUGUUAGACCUAACAAUAGGUUAAGGUUUUCACUCUCUACAAUGGUUAAAAUAAUCAACAAAUACAAUUUUGAAUUAAAAAACAGAUCCAUUAUGAUUUUUUAGUUUAUAUAAUUUUGCAUCAAAUACACACAUUAAGUGUGUAAACCAACGAAAAUGCAAUUAUACUAGUUAGAAUAGUAAUCACAUACUUUUUUCAAAAUUUUAAUUAUUUUUAUCGGAUUUGAUUGAUUAAGUGUAAUUAAAUCUUAAAAAUAAAAAAUAAAAAAUAUUAUUAUCUUGCUUAAUUUCUCUAAUUUUCACUCUUUCAUAAGAAUUGAAGGAAAGAAUCUUGUCAGAGAGUUUUACUAUUACAAAUAUAGUACAUUCGUAAGUAUAAUGCAAGUAUAAAUAUAUAUUAUAAUGUAGAAUCAAAUUAGUAUAAAACGUACAACAUACGAAGAAUCAGACAAAACUCACAUGUAUAUAGCAUACACAUAGAGUAAGACGAAAAUCCACAAAUCAUAAUUAUACAUGAUAAAACUCAAAUUUAGAUAUUUAAUUGAAACAAAUAAUAUGUUUUAAUUACACUCGAUUCAAUAUAAAUUACUAAUUACAAUGAUUAUAAAUACUAAAUAUAUUUAUUUACAAAUAAUUAUAUUUAAAUCUAAUUACUAGAUAAAGUGAUAGCAACGUAAUUUCAUUGCGGUGGAAGAUUGAGCCGGACAUCAAAUCUACUUAAACAAAUUUGAAUUAACAUCGAUCUAUAGUUGUCGGCUUUGUGGAAAACAUGAGAAGGUGUAUCGAGAGAUGAAGACCAACUGUGCGCGUUUUGUCGCAUUACAACUUCGCUUUGGAAAAGGCUAAUCAAUACUUGCAAGAACUUUCCCUAGUAAUUCAUAAUAUCCCAACAAGACGUAAUGAGUUUUGACGAUUAUCGAAAAGUAAACAUUUCAGAUUCAUUUGUCAAGCUAUAUGCCAAAGAAAAACUCGUGUCCAAAGUUAUCGAAACAUGGUCAUCUAUACGUUGUUAAAGUCAAAUUUUAUGUGCCGAGGACAAAGUUGAAAGAAAAAGGGAAGUGGGAAUUUGAAACCAAAACUUAUAUUAGACAUAAUCAUUCUUUGCUGUUGUGAUGUAGGAGUUUUUCUUUAUCAGGUGUAUAUAUUUUGUGUGAGUUUUAUAUGGACUUUUUUAAAUUAAUUCAAUUUUUAUUUUAUUUUUUAUCCGUAUUGAUUGAUCUAUAUAUUAUAAUUGAUUGUACAUAUAUUUUUAUAUAUCUUAUAUUCGUAAUUAUACUAUAUUUAUAUUAAUAAAACUUGGGAAGAAAUUCAAAAAAAUUAUCCAUAUCAUCUUAAUUUCACAAAUACAAAAAAGAAAACAUUGAAAUCAAGACCUAAUGUAAUGUCGUUGAAAUUACGUUCUGACUAGAAAAACAAAGAACGCAAGUUUGACUUUCCAAGUUUGUUUUUAAGUCCAGUAGCGUCCCAAAUGCUCUAGGUUCGUUGUCAUCGAUCUGCUACGAAGUGGUUUUUCUUUUUCCUGUGUGCUAGCUUGGCUUGCUGCAUGCCAGUGUUGGACGUCUUAAUGAUUAAGAAACACCAGAAACAGGGCGGAGCAAGUGGUGGGUUUUGUGAUUAGCUUAUUCUGGCCGACAAUGAAAGCUACUAAAAUUCUACCAUCGAGAAGUCCACUGCCAAUCGCAUGCAUGCAUUCGAUCAAGUAUAUGUCCUUCUUCAGUGAAAAUCUCCUAACAAGUCGAAGGUAACAUGGGACCCUAAGAAAAAUCACCAAAUUUCACAAACAAAUCAAAAUCACCAAACUUCACAAACAAAUCUUCAUCGCCCCUCUUCCACAUCCAUGCCCUGUUUUCAUGUUCACAUAAUAGUACUCCAUGCAUUCCACUUUGCAUUGCUUUCUUACAUCGUUUUCACAUGGCCUUUUUUUCCCCGGAAAGAAAAAAAAAGUUAUUCUGCACCCACUAGCCUCUUUGAAUCCCCUUAUGUUUCGGAGAAUGUCGGGGCAAAGGAUGGAAAUCUUGUGUAAAAGAUAUAUAUCUUUGUCAUCCAUUUAUGUCUGUUCAAAUGUCUUCUUUUCGGCUGAAAGGCAAUUGUAGAUGCCUGUCUUGAUCUUGCCGUCAAACAAGCUUAGAACCUUAGGCAAAGCAGCUGAUUUGAGCCUCCUUUUUGGGUUCAUGCUAGUCUUUAAUUAUUUUAUGUAAUUGUUAUGUUUGGGGCCUGUAAGAUUUAAGGUAUAAAGGGAAAAAAAGAAAAAGGUUUUUAAGUUUCAGAAUUUUAGUAGUCAUUUUAAAGUGAAAUUGGUGUCCCCAAAUGUUUUCCUUGUGAUAUCAAUUUGUCCCUUGAUUUUUGAUUGUACUGGCAUCCAAAAUGAAGCAAUGUAUUCUAAACAGAAUAAACGGCGUAUUAAUUUGUUGUUAAACUAAAAAAACCAGCAAGACAAAUCUGGAUUUUGCAAAUCUUAUUACACAAUAAAGACCCCCGACAGAAGGGAAAUUAAGUCAAAUCUGAACAACCACGUAAAAUGAUGAAAGUUAAAUGCAUUGAGUAAUAAAUAAAUAAAUUUAUGUAAGGAAAAUGAAAGUACCGUAGGGCAAGAAAAUGAAGAUGGUCGUGUGGUAAUGAUAAGUAAGAGAAUGGAGUGGGGAGAAAUGGUCAAAGAAAGUGGCGCCAUGGUAUGAAGAGAUUGUGGGUUUUCAUUCACAGAUUGGUUGGCUCUUAGUUUUUCUCAUUUGCCAGCCAACUUGGAAACAAAUAAAAUAAAACACGACUUUACCCUCAUGGCAUUGGCCACACUGGUCUCCCCACUUGGUAAUGAAAAUAUGAAAUUCCCAAGACAUUCCCAUUACCACAUUCCAUUUCAUGUUUGAUUAUUAUUAUUUCCUUUAAUUUGAUUAAAAAGUUAGUGCACGAAAUAGGAGGCGAACUUGUUGGAGGCCAAUAUAUAUAAUUUGCUUAACAAUAUCAAUUUUAAGCUUACCCAUAAUUCUUAAGCAGCUAAACCACGUCAAUUAAAGUAAGACAUCCGCUAUAAGAUUCAUACCAAAUGUCACAUGUUAAAAUAAUAUAAUAUUUAUAUUCACUUUUUUAACUUAUUCAUGAUUUUCAUUGCAAUGUAUGCAUCAAAUACAAAUUUAAACAAUUGUAUUACCAUUUUUACGGAUUCCUCCAUUAAUACAAAACACAUUCCAUUUUCAUUUCCAUUUCUGUUUGUUUUUUUAAGUCAGAAGAAGAAUUAUUAUGAGUUGAAUCCCCCAACUACUGUAGUGAUAGUCUCAUUAACUAUUUUCUUCAAGAAAAAGAGAAAGAAAGAAUCAAUUUUUUCAAUAAUAAAUUAACACAACAAACAAAGACACCAAGAAAGUUUUGAAAGAUAAUAUAAUAUCAUACAUUUUAACGAUAAAUUUAGUUUUAUAUUUUUUUGUCAAUUUGAUUUUUUUUAGUUAAAUUUUAUUUUUCAUCAUUUUAAAAAUAAUCAAAUUUAAUUACCAAGCUUUAAAAGAGAGUUGAAUUGUUAUUUUCUUUAACGAAAAUACUAAUAAAAAAUGUUAAAUUUUUAAACAUGACAGUCUAUAUAACAAAUCGUGUGUAUUUCAUAUUUUUUUACUAUUGGUAAUAAGACAAAUAAUGUCAUGUCAUGGUAUCAUGAAAUACACGUAAACUAUUUAAAAAUUAAUAUUUUAGUCAACAUUUUGAUUAAGAAAAUGAUUAGAUUUUUUUAAAGGUUAAUUGUCAACUUUAACUUAAAAAAUAAAAAAAAAUUAAUAAAAGUAAAAAUAUUAAAAUUUAAAUUUAUAUUGAAAAAUAAUAUAAAAACAUAUAGAAAUGUCUAUGACACAAUUUAUCCUAAUUUUAAUUUGGAAGAAAGAACAUUGUAAAAAUAAAAAUAAAAAUAUAUUUAAGUCCCAAACAAUUAGAAAAUAUAAUUAAAUUAUUGCAGAAUACAAAGGGAACAAAAAAUAAAAAAUAAUCAGAAUUAAAAACCCACGUGAUAUAAUUAUGUAAUGUAAAAACUCGAAAUUGAAUAGUUGAGCUACAAAUCCCUGAUGGAGUAAAUUAAGAUGAUGUACCUCCAAACUCGGGUACAUAAAGAAACAAAGAGAGAGAUAAGGCAGGUAAUUAUUUAAUUUGUAUCCAUCUCCCCUAAUUAAUAAUUUCGUCAACUAUUAGGUGUUUGAUAAAAAGUACACCAUAUAUCUGCUGUGUACCACCCACACUACCCCCUCUAACAAUAUCUGUAUACGGCUACAAAAUCUAUGUAGAUUUUUGUAGUUGAUAUUAAUCACCCCUCUCUCAAAUUUUCACUAUCUUACAAAUACUAAAUUCGGAUCAUAUUUACCAUCAAGUAUGGGGCAUGUUAUGGUGUUUGGAUAAAUAUUUUUUAAUUUCAGUCAUCUUGAAUAAUUUUUUUACGUUAAAAUACACAACUUGUCUCACACCAAACUUAAUGAGACGAGAAUUAGACCGCUCUAGAAGAUUGGUGUUCUACCAAAAAAAUAAAUAAAUAUUCAUUUGGCUGAGUUUUUAACUUCUAAAAAAAAAAAAUAGAAAUAUGAAUUUAUCUGUCCUCCUUUUAAUCCUUUUUUGUUUUGUUAGUAUUAUAUUUGCUAAUUAAGUUGUGGGAAGAGAGUCAUAGGUUGGAAUUAGAGUUAACCUUCAAGAAUUAUUGCUAUCUUUAUUUGUUCUAUGAUUUAAGUAUAUUCCUAUUCGGGUUGGGAGUAAUAUUUAAAUUGAAAAAAAUUCAAAUUUUUAAAGAAAAGUUUAUGUUAAAGAAAAAAAAAUUAUAAUAAAUUGUUAUUAAAGAAUUUUAUUUAAGAUAAUUAUUCAUAUAUUAAAAAUCUCUUUUAAAAUAAUUGAUAAAUGUUGGGUGCAGUACUAAAACACAUUAUAAUCACAAUAAAAUACUAGAGUUAAAAAUUUGAAAAUAAUAUCACUAAGGAAGAUAGCUAUAAACCUCGAAUAUAAAUAAUAAAUAUGAUUUAAAAUUUUAAAUCAUAUAGUAAAGUUGUGAAAUUUAUGAUUUUUAAAAUAUUAUUUUGAUAAUGUCUAACAUUUCUUCUUAUAUAUUUUAGGGGUUUACAAGAUAAAUUGAAUGCGUGGAAAUUAACGGUCGAGGUCACUAACAAUUUAUUUUGAUUUGAAAAAUAUUUUUUCGAAUUUUAAAUUGAUUAGAUGGAUUAUUUAAGUUAUUCUAAAUUUUUAAUUGAUUCGAGGAAGUAAUUUUAUUUUUUGAAUUUAAGUUAAGUUGAAUUUUACAAUUUUAAUAACUUAAAUAAUAAAUUGAUGUAAAUAUUCCUUGAGUCCUUAUUAAUUUUGAAAAUGAGCAAACCUCUCUUUAAAAAAUUUAAAAAUAAUAAUAAUAAAAUAUCCAAAUUUUGUGAAAAAAAUAUAUAAAUAUACAAAAUUCUUAACAAAUCUUAAAAUUUACAUAAAAUUAAUUUUAAAAAAUUGAAGUUGAUAAUUAAGGCCUUAAACAAGUACAUUAUCAAAUUAAGUUUAUCAUAUUAAAUUAUAUUGUUUUUUUUAUCUUAUUUUGCUUUGAAAGACUUCACACACACACAUACAUAUAUAUACUUUCAAAUUUACGUGCUCUAGCUAGGAAUUUAGUCAUACUACCAACAAUACUUCAAUUUAACCUGUUUAUUUUUUAAAUUUUACUUGAAUUUUGAUUCACUCGAUUUAAUUUGAAAAAAAAUUCAAAUCAAUUUAAGAUGUUAAAAUAAAAAAUCAUCGACUCAUCAAAUUUAUUAAGUCAGAAUUUUCACUUAAUUCAACUCGAUUUAACCGAAUAUUCACCCUUUUGGAAGUAGAGAAAAUGAUGAGUAUUUAUUUUUAAAUCAUUUUAUAUAUCAUUAUUUGAUCGUAGGUAAUUAUCGUCGAUAGCAGUGACUAAUCCCCUUAUCAUAGGUGCUCUAUUAAGAGGUAAACAACAAGUCAUUUUUAUAUCAUUAUUUAAUUAAUUAAAAAUAUAUAAAAUUUCACUAUCAGUGAGUUUAAUAUAAAUCUUAUUAUUAAUGCCAAAAUUCUUUUCAAGGAAAAUUCAAUUAAAAACGGGCAAAUUAUAAUUGAAAAAAGUUGAGUAUAAUGGUAAAAUAUAUUAUAAAUUUAAAAAUAGAAUACAAGUUUAAACUUUAAAAAUAAUAUUAUUAAGACAACCUCAAACAACUUAAAAUAGAGAUGAAAAAAAAGUAAUUAUAAUAACAAAACAAGUUAUGGAAAUAUUAAACAGAAUAUAAUAAAUAAAUUUUUUAAUAUACUUAUCGGUUUUGUAAUCUAAAUUUAAUGACAAAUAAAUAAAUUGAGAAUGUUAAUAGCUUAUUUUGAGUCUUAUUCAACGUAAAUGAUAUGAAUUUCAAAAAAGAAUAUAAAUAUAAUUUAGAUUUUCGGGUUGAAGAGAGAGAAUAUAUAUAUAUAUAUAUAUAUAUAUAUAUAUAUAUUUAUUUAUUGGCUAUUCUUUCCUUCUAAUCAAGGUUGACGUAAAAGAAAAGAUUGAAUACCCAAAAUCAGUAACUAAAAAGGGAAUGAGCUAAAAUAUUGUCACAUAUAUUAUUUAUUCAUUCAUUUACUUCUUUCUAUUAUAACUUAAUAUAGUAUCAAUUUUGAGUCUUGAUAUUUAGGGUCGAGUUUUAUCAUGUAUGAGUCUUCAUCUCACGAAGUUCGUGUGCCAUGUGUGGGGUGAAGUCAUAUUCUUUUCGAUUUAGUCCAAUUGUUUCUGAUUCUUUAUCCGUUAUGCGUGUCUCAUGUGUGUCAUAUAAUAUUGUUUUUGAUCGAGCAUAUAUUUAUAUUUAUAUUUUACUUGUGAUAUUGUAUUUAAUAAGUUUGUGAGAUUAACAAUUUAAAAAAAAAAUUUAUUUACCCAUUUUCUAACAUCAUAUAUAACACAUCAAUCACCAUCGAAAUCUUAAAUAACUACUCUUUGCUCUUGAUAUGGCUUGGGGCUCCCAAUUUUGCCAUUCGCUUUUUCUAAGAUUUUAACUUUUUUUUAAAUAAUUAUUGAUGUCUUUUUUUUGAUACAACGUUUAGAACUAUUUAUAAUCUCUCUUCAAUUCAUAAGUAGGAAGAUAAUGCACUUCAGCGUACUCGAACCCACGUCCUCCUUUAUUGGCAACAAUAUCCAUGCCAAUGAGUCAAUUGACAUAUUUUUAAUAUUAUAUUUUAGUGUAAUUAAAACGAGAUUGCUUAUUAGUAUUCAUGAAAAGGGGUUUUUUUUUUCAAUGUUUCUUUUAUGAUUAAAAUUGUGAGAGAAUAUUGUUUAAAGAGAAAUAAAAAAAAUCAAUGAGGUAGUCAUGAACUUGAGGAGCGAAAAUGGCGUGGAGAUAGGUUGGCUUGCCUCAAUAGCUAUCUGCUUGCGCAUGUAUCAUAUUAUUGAAUAUAUAUCUAAUCUAUAUGGUGGCGGUAAGGUUUUCAAAGUUUGGGACUUCUAGACAUGAAAUAUGUUGGGAAGGUUUUACUAUGGGUUGAGAAAAAAAUUAUAUUAGGACCAAAAUUUCUAACAUUAUAUUAAUAUUACAAUUUUUAACAGUUUUUAAUUAAAAAUGUUGAUAUAAACCUUUUCUUUUUGAAGCGCACAAGUUGCAUGAGUUUGACCAUAAGCUAUAUAGCUUUCGGUUUGUAUGUAUUCUGAUUUUUGUUUAUCAUUUUGCAUCACAGCAGAUCCAUGCCGUCAGGACUGGUGCCGUAGUGUCCUUUGUACUGAUAGUUUAGCUUGGAGCCACAUAUCGACAGUCCACUUUCCAUAUGGCAUCACAUGGAGAUUUAAUUAAUUUUUUGCAGCAGUUGAUGAAAUCAACCACUUAUUCUUUUAGUCAUUAAAUUUUAGUGCAUAAAUUGAUGAAGAGCCCGGCUCCCAUAUGGCACCUUGUCCAAUCAAACAGGCGUAUCAUAGCCUAUAAAUAGCAUAUUGAGCCGUAUGCUAAUUCACUUCAAAACAAAAAGAUCUUAAAAACAAACAAGACGUCAGCUAAGAUGAAUAUGGGCAAUGCUAAUGGGGAGGAUGCUAUUGAGGCACUCCAAUCACAAGCUCACAUUUGGAGACAUGCUUUCAACUUCGUAAGCUUCAUGUCUCUAAAAUGUGCACUUGAUUUAGGCAUCCUUGAUAUCAUUCAUGAUCAUGGCAAGCCCAUGACUAUUACCCAGCUGGUUGCUGCGCUACAGAUUCUCAACCCUACUAAAGCAUGCGACAUUUAUAGGCUCAUGCGCAUUCUAGUUCACUCGGACUUCUUUGCACGCCAAAAGCUAGACAAUGAUGCUCAAGAAGAAGGAUAUGUUCUUACCAACUCUUCUCGUAUUUUGCUCAAGAAUAAUCCCUUCUGCAUAACGCCUACUUUGAAGGCUACAAUGGAUCCUAUUAUAACAAAGCCUUGGAGUUUUCUAGGGACCUGGUUCCAAAAUGAUGAUCAUACUCCAUUUGCUACUGCAUAUGGGAAGACAUUGUGGGACUAUUUUACCCAUGAUCCUCAGCUAAAAGAUUUGAUAAAUGAUGGCUUAGCUAGUGAUUCUCAAUUGGUUACUAGUGUUCUAGUUGACAAGUGUAAAGGGGCAUUUGAGGGAUUGGACUCCCUUGUAGAUGUUGGGGGUGGCACGGGAACUACGGCCAAGGCCAUUGCUGAUACAUUUCCACUCAUGGAGUGCACUGUGUUUGAUCUUCCUAAUAUUGUUGCUGGCUUGCAAGGGAGUAAGAACUUGAAAUAUGUUGGAGGCAACAUGUUUGAGGCAUUUCCAACAGGAGACGCAAUUUUAUUAAAGGUUAAGCUUUACUAAAUUUAUUCGCAUUAUUUUUUUCGGGUAUUUUUACUUUUAUAAAUAAUGCACAACAAAUUCCAUUACACAUGAUAAUAUUCAAAGAUUUGAAGGCAAAUGUAAUCAUAGUUUGUGGGUUAGCUAAUAUUUUAUGUUUUUUGAGCUAAUUAUGAAUGAUAAUUGAACAGAAGGUAUUGCACGAUUGGAAUGAUGAAGGAUGCUUGACAAUUUUGAAGCGAAGUAAAGAGGCCAUUUCAAGCCAAGACAAGGUAGGAAGAAAGUUGAUCAUAAUUGACAUGGUUGUGAGGGAGAAUGAGCAAGUGAAUGAUGAAGCCUCAAGCUUAACUAAAACACAACUCUUUUUCGACAUGUUGAUGUUGGUAUUGGUGGCUGGAAAAGAGAGGCGGGAAGAAGAAUGGGCUAAACUAUUUUUAGCAGCUGGUUUUAGUUCUUUCAAAAUUACUCCUAUUGUGGGUUUGACAUCUCUCAUUGAGGUUUACCCCUGAGAGCAUUUGGUUAUUGCAUUAUU
Molecule: long non-coding RNA, 85340 nt
Filed under: Gossypium barbadense (sea-island cotton)
Lineage: Eukaryota; Viridiplantae; Streptophyta; Magnoliopsida; Malvales; Malvaceae
Description: long non-coding RNA (GBAR_LNC020270)
Rfam family: MIR7502 microRNA precursor family (bases 1666-1808)
Source: RNAcentral